GUACAUCUACUAGAACUUAAACAUGGUUCAAGAGCAUCUAGUUAAAUAAUACUUCAAUCUCCUUCGAUACUAUUAGACUUUAUCAAUCAAGUAGUAUGUAACUUAUACCGUGUAUCCUUAACCUGCAAAAGUGGUUAUUUGCAAGGGUGAGCUAGACAUCCCAACAUUUCUAACAGUUUUCAUGCAGCACUUAGCAUUUAAUAACAUAUACAGUUUAUGCAUUCAUAAUCGAUCAAUAUUUACUACGCAUGUUACUUCUCACAUAACAGGCAUAGAGGUUUAUAUCACAAGCAUAUCAUCAAAGAUCAACUUUCACAUUUCAUACAUAUCUCAUAUGCAUUUCAUAUAUAUACAUCAGCAUUCACAUGGCAUAAUAUAACUAACAGUUAUCAAAUUCAUAUAACAAAUAGGAACUGAAAGACUUGCUUGAUUCGUAGGUUAUUAACUACGACUUAACUGCUUAAAGCUUAUCUGCACUGCGUGUGUUCCUCUUAAUUGCUGGAAGUUGCUAUCCAUAGCUCCCAUUGCUCUCAAUUCUCCUAACUCUCCAUAGCUCACUUCUCAGACAACUUAAAUAAACGGGAAUGAAAAGGAGGAGUCCAUAUUUAUAGGGAAUUCAAUACCCAUACCAAAGCUUUGUUCAUUGAUUUUGUUUAGCAGGAAGAAGAAGAAGAUGACGGGUAUUAGAGAUUUGGUAGAAUAGUACUACCUGCUCCCCUUCAACCACUCUCCCAACAUCAUUUGCUAUAAACUGAGUUUGAGAAAUGAAGAGCUAGACUAGGCCAAUGGCCUAUCAUGGUUAAUUAAAUGAAUUGGGACACUAAUUUUGGGACAUGCCACAUAUCCUCAGCAUUAGUAAAAUGGGUAUUUAAGAUAUCUAUAUUUACUUUAUUUUGGACUUGCAAGCUUACAUUUAAUAACUUAAUGCUAUUACUAUAUGAUAAAUUAGGGGUACAUAUACCCAUAAUCAUACAAUCCAUGUAUACUAGUCCACGUAAUAUUUUAAUUGGGCUAAAUAUAAAUUAAUUGGGUACUCUUAACCCAUUAUUUCCCAUCACACAUAAAUAUCAUAAUGAUUCUCUUUUAAUAAUUUCAGUUAAACAUUCAGUCUGGCUUAACUUUAACAUUUAGUCCAUACAAGGCUCAUUUACCUUAUUUACUGGAGUUACAUAUAACUCAAGCUCAUUAUUUCUAUAAUAAAAUAUUAGGGGUCUAGGUCAUGUUUGGCUUUUCCCCAAUUCCACAUUAUUUUAAUAUUUAUUUAAUAUAAGAUUUAUGUCACACUUUAUCAUAAUGCUAAAUUUUUUAGCUUACUUAAAUAAUUACAUACUUAUAAUAUGUACAACCUUUACACUUAGAAUAAUUAAUAUUUACUCUAUUAAUUAUUUAAAUUAUACACUGUACGUAUAAUUAUUCGAUUGUCCCAAGACAACAUCCUCAAUCUUUACAUUCACAGCUUUCAAAUAUUAACCCUUUCACAUAUUACCAUAUUAUGUAAUAUAUAAAAAUACUAACAUUACUUAACAUAAUCAUUUCAUUUUCUUCAUGUAAAGCACAUAUAUUAAUUCACCAUCCUAUGUAAGGGAAUUAACUCUUUUUAUUUGAUUUACUAUCACGCCACUGCCACACAAGGCUUUAUACUCAAAUUAUAUUAUAAUAUUACAUAAUAUAACUUAAUUAACCAAUAUUAAUUUCCAUAAAUAACUUCUCAUUCAAUUCAUGAUUCGUUAUCUCAAUCUAUUCAUGGACGGUUGGAAAUCCUAAAGUUCAGAUUACAAACUCAUCAUGAACAGUCUAUAGGCCGGCGCGGCCGCUCUGGUCUUAGGAUUGAGAGUGGCGCGGCCGCGCCACCUCAAGUUAGGACGCAUAAAUGUUAUGCUUUAAUAGAAACAGAACUUAACUCGCAAAUCUUUUAACAUGCUCCAUACAUGCUAUCUCAUUAUACUAACCAAAAUGAAUUUCCAAUGACUACAUUCUUGAAUAACUUAGAGAUUAAACUUCAAGUUCAAACUCUUCUUUCUUUAAUCCAUACAUUUAACCAAAUCCCAAUAUUAGUCAAUACAUCUCUAACCAAUAUUUAUCUAAAGAUAAAUUGAUUUUCCUCUCUCAUCGACAACGUAUAUAUAUACAAGUCCAAACCUAGCACACAUCGAGCUUUUAAUGGUAUUGAAUAUAGUACACUGAGUGGUUUUCCACAAAACAAACAACAAAUUAGUUUCUGUCUCGUCUACACUGUUUUCACAGUGAGUUAGAUCGAUUACUAAUUCGUAUAUACCUCCGCUCUCUGAAGGAAUCAUUUAGCCCAGCUCCUAUACAUCAACCAUUAAAGGGUACAGUUGCACUGCCUUAGACUUGAUACAUAAUCAUACAUAUACUCAAGAAAUUGGUGGUUAUCAAAUAUAUUUAAUGUCACCAACUUACUAUUAUAAAUAAUUUCACAUAAAUUAUUUAACAUCAAUAGAUAAAUUUUAUCCAUCUUUAUAAUUUAUAACAAAUAUAUAAUAAUGAUAUAUAUAUUUAUUAAACACAACCACACUUAUUACAUAACACAUAUUACCUUAUGUAACACACUACCAUAUAUCACGUAACACAUUAUAUAUUUUUAUUUGAACCCUUCACAUGACUUAAGAAUUUUAUCUACUAAAUUCUUAUUUUAAUAUUUUUUGAAAAUUCGGGUUCUUACAAGAACGAACGAAUUCCGAGUUCGGAUAACCGAAUUACGGACGAACGAACGAAGAGCAUUAAAAACAUAAAAUGAACGAAGGGUAAAGAUUAAGCCAAUCGAAUGGCACGUUAACGGAUUCAGAAUGAAGUUCUAUCCAAAGGGGAUUUAAGUACGUAAGAUAAGAAAGAGAUUGUCUUUGGAACGACCUCGUUGAGUUAUAACAAAAAAGUUAUGGAAGCGUGAAGUAAGCGUCUCAAAGUGGAUUUAAGACUUAGAAAUUUUUUUAGGGAUGAGGUCUUGGCGCCGCAGCGCGAACCGUGCCUUGGGAGGUGAUGCCACAAUGCCAGACUUGGCAGUUAGACACUGCAGAGUGGUGCUGCAGCGCGAGUGACAAAGAGGGACCCGGCGCCACGGUGCCAGCGCAGGGAAAAGGCCAGUGAUUAGCUUUUAAGUGCUCAAUUACUGGGGGAUGUGCAAGAAAGAAAUAUGAACAUGUAGUUCACCUAAAAUAACACUUAAACAAGUGAAUUAAACCUUUAGUAUAGGUUGAACGAAAUGAUCGAAAGAGAUUAGAAGAUCAAGAAGAGAAUAACCGUAAAUAUAAACGUAAUGCAGUUGCAAGAAGUCUUAGCAUACAACGAACAAUAUGGCUUCGACAUUAAGAAAGAGUAAUGAACAUGGGGUUUAGGUAAUGGAUAACAAAAGUAUUAAGUAAGAUAAAAAUGGUAACAAGAAAGUCGUAACGAACGGUAAUAAGAUUAAUGAAAGCCAAUUGGGUUUCAGAUAGAAAAAUGAUAGAAUGAAUUAUAAGUAUGGAACAUUUUAACCAAUGUGAAAGUUGAGUGUACGCAAAUAUUAAGCAGAUAGAACCUACACUCCAUGUAUAGUUUGACCGUAAGAUAAUGAAGAUCAAUGAUUAAACCAUGAAUGGUAAAAGACUGAAUUAAAUAUAAUGACGUUUAACGUAACGAAGAUGAGUAAUGAUUAACUUGAAUGAUCGCUCUAAGUAUACAGAAGACUGUAUAAUGUAGACGUAAAGAGUGAAUCCUAAGGUGUGGCAUUUAAUUGCCAAGAAGCCAUAAGGAAUGAGAAAUUGAUUUAGCGAAGAUUAUAGUUUAAUAGUUCGGAUAAGUUUAGAUAAGUUAGGUUGUGGUGCAAUCGUAACCUUUGAUGGUUGACAUAUGGGAGUUGGGCUAAAUAAUUCCUUCAGAGAGCGAAGGUAUAUACAAAACUGGCAACCGAUCUAACUCACUGUGAUGGCAGUGUAGACGAGACGGGAACUUGUUUAUUGGUUGUUUGUGGAAAACCACUCAGAGUACCAUAUGGACUACUAGCAGAGAAGCGAUGUGUGUUGAGUCCUAGAGAAAUUAUAAGAAGAAGAUAAGAAUGUAAAACAUCAAAGAUGAUGAACGUAUAAGUAAGACAUCUCCGUAUGUCAUGAAGCCAUAGAACGGUAAUGAAAGUGGUCGCGUAAACUUAGGUUGCAAGAACGCGAACCCUAAGAAGUAAAGUUAAGCAAAUAAAUGCAUAAGUCAAAUAUAUAUGACUAAUUGGUGUAUGUGGUGUUUUCUUAUGUGUUAUAUAGGAAUUAAAAUGAGCAGUUCGGUGUAAGCUGUAGCUGGGUGUAAGGCAAGUUUCCUAACUUCAUUCAUAUUUUAAAUGAAUGUUAGUUUCUAAAACUUCUCAGAUAUUGAACUUGAGAAGUUCUGUCAAUUUGCGAAUGUGCAAUAUUAGUACAAGGUAGUAGAACGUAUGAGGCCUUGAGCCAUAAUGUGAACACUUUGGUGUUUCUAUGAGAUGAACUAUUCUGUGAUUUAACAGUUUAAUAAGAGAAUGCUUUGUUUAUACAUGAUCCGUUACUGUUAAGUCUGUGCUAAUGAUUCUAGCCAGACAAAAUGUAUAUGAAAAAGGUAGAAGAAUGAAAGUAUUUAAAAAUGAAAGUGAAUAUUGUUUUAAAAUGGUAAGAAUCGAGAUUAUUCCUAUUAUUCAAGUUGCUUCAUAACCUUAUCCGGUUAUUGAAGUCUGAAAAGAGUGUUUGAAUUCUUGAAGUUGUUUGUUCAACUACUAUAACUUGCUAAACAAUUGAAUGCUCACACUUGCUUUAAAUGAAAAACAUUUUCAGUGAACGAUGUUAGAAGAACUUAAGGAUCCCGUAAAGAUUAAGCUGACUGGUAUCCAGAUGCAGUGCCAUUCAGUAUGUGAAUGAGCAUGAAGAUCAAGCGAAGACUUGUAAUAUAAAAUAAGUUAAAUGAACUUUAUAUUAGUUUAAUGAACUGUUAUAUAUUCUCAGUGGCGGAUGAAAGUCACUCGUGUAAGAUGUAAAGAAUAAUAUAAUUAUCAUUAUUUGUAAUAAAAAGAUUUAUAAGGUUUUAGAACCUGGGAAAUUAGAAUGUAUUUUGUUAUAUUUGAGUAUAUAAUGAUGUAUGUUUGGAUGAAUGAUGUACUCGUGACGUACGAAAUCCGGGUGUGAAGAUAGACCAGAUUUCGGGGAGUUACAAGUUGGUAUCAAAGCUGAUAGGUUAUAAAUCUUAGGUAAGAGUAUCUAAGACUAUAAUCGUAGAGAGAGGGAUAAGAAGAUCACCACGUGAUCAUAGUGAAUCGUAGUAACAGAUGAGUUGUUAAACGAUGAAUGAUUUAUAGUACUACGAAGUAGUACGAGAAGAAGAACUCAGAUUGAGUUAUAAAGGAUAGCAUACGAAUUAAAGAAAAUUCGUAUUAAGUAAAGAGCAAUUUAGAAGUUGUAAAAUUUUAAUUGAGGACUCAUGUGAUAGCUGAGUUGUAUGACCUUUGUUAUGGGCAGAGGUUUGUGUUUGGUGUAAUAACUACUUAGCUUAUUACAGUGAUAAUCAUUGGAAUUGGUUGUGCUGUCAAGAUGUAUAUGACGAGAAGGUGAAUCUUUUCUCAUGUAUAUACUUGAUAGGUUGAGAAGGAUAAGGUAGGUGCGAGUUCUUGAAACUCAUACUUAUGGUACGUUCGUGACUCAUAAUGAUAUGGUAGGUUUUUGAACUUCUCAGCGAAUGGAUGCCUAUGGUCUGUCUGGGAUAGUUCUUAAACUCAUAUUAUUGUGGAAAGUUCCUAAACUCAUAAUGUGUGGUAAGUUGAUGGACUGUACUAAGGUAUAGGGAUGUUUAGACUGAAAAAUGAAUUAUUUUCAAUAGUCUUAGUAUUGAAGGUGCUAGAGAAGAUUAAUUAUUGUCGAAAGUAAGAAAAUGAAGGAAGGUGAAGAAUAGGAUAUUCCAAGUCAUCUAGGUAUGCUAGAUUUCGAAGUUUGUUGAAAUCGUGCUUAUGUGUUCAUUCAACUUUUGGAACCAAUGGAUUUUUAAAAGAACUAUUCUUGGUAUGUCUAUGCUAAUUGUUUCGGCUAGACAGAAAUUGAUUUGAAAUAUCAAAAUGAAUUUUAUAUCAUUUGUGCAUUCGAUUUAAGAAUGGUAAAAGGACGGAGUUAUUAAUGCAAUUGAACCUAGUGUUGGAUGUGAUCUUAGGAGCAACACCCCGCUAUAGUAUGAUGUAUAAUGACAAAGUCACAAACUGACGAAGUCCUCAACGUACCGUGAAAAGUACGGUAUCAUGACAUCACAAAAUGUUUUGAUGAAUUGAAAAAAGAAUUUAAAGAAGUAGUCGAUGUCCAUUGAGUUGACUAGACGAAUAUUUCAUGUUGAUAACCAAUUUAUUGGUAUGGUCUAAGCUACUUGAUUCGGCUAGACAAAAGGUAUGUCAUGUUUAAAAGAAAAUCGAGCUUUCUUUGAAGAAGUUGUUCCAAAUCAAAUUGUUUUGAUGCGGAAUCUAAUGAUUAAGUCUGAUGUGAACAUAUCCCGAAAUGGGGUAUAUGAUGGGUAAGAGGUAGUUUGUUUUCUUUGUGAUUGUAAACUGACCGUGGAAGAAAGGUUACGGCGUCAUGUUGUUAAACCAAGUAAGAGUUCAUGGUCGAUUUGACCCCUCAGCAAAAGUAUAAAACGUUUUAAAAGGAAAUUUUAUAUUCCUCGUUAUUCUUUCUACUUCAUGAUUCUUGAUAGGUUAUGGAGGUUAGGAAUGAUGGAAAGAUAAGAACUCUGUUGAAGGGAAGUGAGAAGAUGGGUAAGCUAAAAUUUCAAGGACGAAAUUCUGUGAAGAAUGGGUGAAUGUGAUGACCAAGGUAAGGGUGUGGUUUUAAAAAAUUCCGAGGACGAAAUUUUUAUAAGGAGGGAAGAGUGUGACGACCCGAAAAUUCAGAUCGUCCAGAAUUUAAGUUUACAGAAUUAGUUAUUAAUAAAAUGAAUUUUUAGUAAUAAUAUUAUGUGCUAUGUGUUUAUUAAUCGUUCUAGAACCUAGGAUGAUUAUAAGUCGGGAGAAUUCUGGCUACGAGCUAGACUGAACGAGUAAUAAUUUUCAAGACAAAAAUGAAAAUUUUUCUGGAACAAAAAUAUUUCUGGGAAAAAAGAUGAAAUAUGCACUAUUCACCCGACGAAACCUAAGGGUUAGGGUUUGAAUAACCUAAACCUUUCGAGAGUUUGGUAUGUCAAAAUGACAUUUCGUCGAAAGAUUUGACGAUAAUAUGUCGUGAAAAGUUAAGUAAGCCGAUAAAAGUGUUUCUCGAAAAAAGUGCAGAAAUCGGACGAAAUAAAAACGACAAAAAGUAUUGUUAUGUACUUUUCAUUCGUUUAGCUAUGUUAGGGGAAAACAUGAAGGAAAACGCUUAACACCAAAAAGUGUUUUUUAGAUUUUUGGAAAUCUGAAGAAUAUGUUAAAGUUAAUCGGUAAAGGAAAGACGAAAUAUACAAAAAUAUUUGUGUGACACCCCCAAAUCUAGGUACUUCAUUCCCACAAGAUUUGGUGCUCACUAUCCAUACAUUUAUACCAUCUACCUAAAUAAAUACUAUUUAAGCCAUAAUCCUCCCUUUAAAUAGGGUUACACCAUUAAAUUCAAAAACAAUACCAGGUUAUCUAACCUUUAAACAUCAUUCAAGUGCGGAAAUAAAAUUUAUUACAUCACAUCAUUAUUAAAAAGUCUGAGAUCAUCAUAAUAAAUAAAAGUACAAAUCAGCAUCACUUGUACAAUUUUUCCUUUCCUUUGCUAAUUGAAGGUUCAUCUACCUUCUCCACUUUGGCUGCAAUGAGUAUAUAAAUAUGCAAGAGUGAGCAAAACAAUUGCUCACUGGAUAUAAUAAAGAAUCAACAUGAGAAUAACAAUAAUAACUGCCAACGAAUAGGAUCAUCAAAACUGAAUAGUACUCUAUCAAUGAUAAUCAGGAACUAGAAUCCAAAAUAUGGAAUAUACAUAGCUGAGGGUCAUAAGACCAUGAACUAUGUCCACAGUUGCGAGUAAUCUUUCAACUCCAACUUUAACAGUCAUAAGACUAUAAUAACUCCUCGUACUUAGGGGGAUCAGCCCUUCGUACAAUGUAUUGUGCACAAACAUUUUAACGCUACGCGUAAAUUAUCCCCUAAUAAUAGUAGGGUUGUUCAUCUCAGUAUUUAGAGUACAAGUCCGCACCAAAGAAAGUUUGGUUUGGAUAAACUUUCAAGGGUAAUUUGAUUUUUAACGAACAUCAACUAGAGGACUAGUUGAAUCAAUAGUGUUUGAUAAUUACAACAUAACAUAGAAUAAUUGAGAAUCAUAAAUGAAUUGAUUAUACAUAUUAAACUCAUGCUUGAAAUAACUAUAGAGCAUAAGUACUCAACAAAAUGAAUAAAGUGAUAAACCUUUGCUUGAACAGAAAAUAAGCUAAGGUUAGAGUCCAAUAACAUUAGAAAUGAAAUUACUGAACAUACAUUGACUGAUAGCAAGCUGGAAACUAAAGACUUGCCCAACAUGGUAUUAAUUCAUGCAAGGAUUAAAAACAGUUCAAUAAUAGAGACGAGAGUUCAAACUGUAUUUAUUAUACAAGAAUAUAACUCAAGAACUUGCUUAACCAGAAACAAGUUAGAAUGAAUCAACAAAAAUGAGAAUUCAAAUAACAUUAGAAUUAAAGUUUGCUCGAAUGAACUUUAGGGAUAAUUGAUUUAUUCAAUCAACAGUUGAAAUAGAAAGCUUACUCUAUCAAAGGAUAAAGCUACAUAAUGUAAUAAUGGAACUAGCUCAACGAAAUUAAAGAGUUAGGAAACUUUCUCAAUGUAAAAGAUAGAGUUUAGAAACUUGCCUUGAGCGUAAGCUAUAAAAUUAAACUCGCGAUCACCUACACAUAACUUUAGAACCACAAUACCUAUUAGAUAUGAUAACAUAUCAUGACAUGUUUAUUUCUAGCUAAACUUAUCAUUUACACAUAAGUCUUUCAUUACCACUUACAUUUUAGAAAUUCCAAGUGUUUUACUUUACAACACUUGUCUAACGUUUAUCACAUAAUGCGUUCUCGAUUUACUAAUCACUUUUAAACUUGUUAAUUCAUAAUCCAUAUAACAUGAUUCUAAUUAACCUUAUUGUUACAAGAUUCUCACAUUACCAUAACCUUAAGCUAAGCCACAAAGAACGACCAAAGUCUGGAAAACAAACAAACUUCAGUGUCUGAAAAUGGGCACUCGCGCGGCCGCGCGAGUUUUGUAUGGGGAUGCCGCGCGCCUGCGCCCAAGGGCCUCACGGCCGCGCGACUUACAGAACUCAGUUUGCAAAACAUAGUCACGACACUUUUCUUAAGCUAACUAACACGAAUUUCACCCAUCAAACAGUGAUAUUAACAAUAAAAUAAAUAUACAACUAUCAUAGACAUGAUUGCUAACCUACUGAAUCACUUAGCACAAUUUAACAUAACUAAAACUAUUUUAAUUUCUCAAUUUUCAUGUUUUUAUGAAAAACUCAAUUUUCUUGACAUUCAUCCUAAAAAUCAUCACUGUAAAUUCAUUACAUGAUCAAAUCAUCUCAUUCAAAUUACAUUAUGUUCGUAUCUCAAUGAACUAACAUCUAUAAGUUUCAAUUUAUACUUUCGCAUACAAAUUAGCCAAUAAAAUUAAUACUUACUCAAACCAUAUAAAGAACAUAAACACUAACAUUAUAUUUUUCCUACUGUCGAACAAUUUAGCAUGCAAUUUCCUUAUUUGAAUAUUACUUUAGCAUUACAAACAUGUAUAACCACAAUUAUCAACUAUAUUUGUCCAUAAUUCAACAAUUGAUUUUACAGAACAUAAGAAAAUUCUUGCCGUGAAAUACAUAUACACAUAUACAUUAUCAUAAUUAUGAACAUACCUUUAAUUAGCGUGGUAACUCUUGCUAACCCACUGGAAUUGCUUGAAAAUCCUAAGCUUUCUCUCAAUUUCUCUCAACUCUCAAUUCUCUCUAUUACCUCUAGGCUAGAAAAACUAGAAUGAAGCUCUGAUAGCCAGUAUGCGUAAUAACCAAAAUGAAAAACUGAUAGUCUUAAUACGCCAACUUAAUUAAAAUAACGGUUACCACAUAAACGUAUAUAAUAUAAAUAUAUUAUAUUUCUUAUUUUAUUUAUUUUAUUUAUAUUAUUAAAUUCAAAUUUUGAAAAUUAGAAAUAUCAAAAUCCAUAAGGCUUGUUUGGCAAAAACCCUUUAAAUUUUAAAGAGUUAAUAUAAUAAACCUUGUUUGGCAAAACUAAAUUAAACCCUUUUUAAUUUAUUUUAAUAAACACUUUAGUUUAUGAUUAUAAUUACAUACUUUUAGAUAAAUAUUUCCCACUUUAUCAAAUUCCACAAAAUUAUAAUUUCAUGUUAUAAUUUUAUUUGAUAAUUUAAUAUAUCAUACCAUAUUAAAUUAUUAAUCACAAUAUAACACACCUCGUGUUAUAAUACACAUCUCUAAAUUAUAAAUUAAUUUAAUUUAGAAAUUUAUCUAAUAAAUUUAGAUUUACAAAUAUUUAUUAAUGACCAUCACAUCAAUAAUUAUUUAUUCAACAAUAAACACCUCAAAUAAAUAUUUAUAUAUUUCAAUAAAUAUUUAAAAUUACAAUUUGAAAUUUUGGAUCGUUACAUCCUUCCCUCCUUACAAGGAUUUUGUCCCCAGAAUCACAAUUCAAACAAUCAAUUCGUCACAUUCUUCCCUACUUACAAAGAUUCUGUCCCUAGAAUCGAAGACACAGACUACAAAUAACUCUGGGUAAUUCUUCAUCAUUUCUGCAUUGAGUUCCCACGUAACCUCUUCGACGUUGUGGUUCCUCCAUAUCACCUUUACUGAAGGUAUCACUUUAUUCCUGAGCACUUGUUCCUUCAUGUCGACUAUCUGGAUAGGAAUCUCUUCGUAAGACAAAUCUUUACUAAACUGCAAUGGUUCAUACUCGAUCACAUGCUUGUAAUCGGGUUUAUGCGAUCGCAACACCGACACGUGAAAAACAUUGUGUACAUGCUCUAAUUCUGGAGGUAAAGCUACCUCAUAAGCCACCUCUCCCACUCUUCGCAAUAUUUCGAAAGGUCCAAUAAACCUCGGGCUGAGCUUGCCUUUCUUGCCGAAACGAAUCUUCCCCUUCUAAGGAGAAACUUUCAGGAAUACGAAAUUUCCUACUUCAAACUCACGACUCUGCCUGUGUUGAUCAGCAUACUUUUUCUUUCGAUCUUGAGCAGCUACCAGUCUUGCUCUGAUGAGUUUGACAAUUUCAGCGGUCUGCUGAACCAUUUCUGGGACUAACAAUUGCCGUUCUCCAACUUCAUUCCAGCAUAGCGGAGUUCUGUACUUUCUGUCGUAUAACACCUCGUACAGUGGCAUACCAAUGCUUGAGUGGUAACUGUUGUUGUAUGCAAAUUCCACCAACGGUAGAUGAUCAUCCCAGUUUCCUUUGAAAUCCAUGAUGCACGCUCUGAGCAUAUCUUUAAGCGUCUGAAUCGUUCUUUCGCUCUGCCCAUCGAUUUGUGGAUGAUACGCUGUGCUCAUCUUCAAUUGUGUCCCCAUGCAUUUUUGUAGUCUCUUCUAGAAAUUUGAUGUGAACCUCGGAUCUCUGUCUGACAGAAUUGACAUUGGAACACCAUGUCUUGAGACGAUCUCUUCAAUGUAUAACUUUGCCAACUGAUCAAGAUUAAAUCUAAUCUUUAUUAGCGAAAAGUGUGCAGAUUUUGUUAAUCUAUCCACUAUCCCCCAUAUCGCAUCGUAUCCUUUCUGAGCCGUUGGAAGACCUACCACAAAAUCUAUUGUAAUAUGCUCCCACUUCCAUUCCGGUAUCUCCAACGGUUGAAGUAAUCCGCUUGGUCGUUGAUGCUUGGCCUUCACUUUCUGACAUGUCAAGCACUUUGCAACGCAUUCUGCAACAUCUCUUUUCAUGUUUGGCCACCAAAAACGACGCCACAAAUCUUGAUACAUUUUCUUACUUCUCGGAUGAAUCGAAUAUCUUGAGCUAUGUGCUUCCGUCAAGAUUUCUUCUUUAAUAUCCUGAACCUCUGGAACCCAAAUUCGUCCCUCGAAUCUUAGCAUUCCCUCAGUAUCGACUUGAUACUUUACUUCCUUUCCCUCGUCCACGCUUUCCUUUAUUUUCUUGCAUUCUUCAUCCUGUAGUUCAGCGUUCUUCACUUUGUCCACCAAAGUUGGACUAGCUUCCAUCUAGAACAAUUUUUCAUCGAAUUCUUCUGGAAAUUUGAUUUCCAGCUCUAGCCUUGCCAUUGUUGUAAUAAGCUCCUCCUUAUCUGUUAACAACAUCAACUUUUCUCUGAGUUUCCUACUCAUGGCAUCUGCAACCACGUUUGCUUUGCCUGGAUGAUAAAAGAUCUCACAAUCGUAAUCCUUUAUCAAUUCCAUCUAUAAGACCCCAACUUUUAUGAAUAAAGAUGAUUUUUCUAUAAAUAUCAUUUUUGAAUAUUAUGGAAUGAAUUUGAUAUAAUGUUAUAGUUGGGGGUAAUAUUUAUAAAUUUUGCAAAGUACGCAAGUUGUUAUAGAAUAUUCGAUUGGUCGGGGAAUAUUCGUUUUAANNNNNNNNNNNNNNNNNNNNNNNNNNNNNNNNNNNNNNNNNNNNNNNNNNNNNNNNNNNNNNNNNNNNNNNNNNNNNNNNNNNNNNNNNNNNNNNNNNNNNNNNNNNNNNNNNNNNNNNNNNNNNNNNNNNNNNNNNNNNNNNNNNNNNNNNNNNNNNNNNNNNNNNNNNNNNNNNNNNNNNNNNNNNNNNNNNNNNNNNNNNNNNNNNNNNNNNNNNNNNNNNNNNNNNNNNNNNNNNNNNNNNNNNNNNNNNNNNNNNNNNNNNNNNNNNNNNNNNNNNNNNNNNNNNNNNNNNNNNNNNNNNNNNNNNNNNNNNNNNNNNNNNNNNNNNNNNNNNNNNNNNNNNNNNNNNNNNNNNNNNNNNNNNNNGAAGACUUACCAUUGGGAAGAAUAUGAUAGUAAUCUUCUUGUUUUUCUUUGGGGUCUAUUGGGUCAACCAAGGAUAAUUCUGUGGCCAUAUGAUAUCUAUCAUAACCUAGACGCAUGGUCUCCCAUGUACGAAGGUUUCCUUGAGCACUUCCCAAAGAUUUUAGUUUCUAAAACAGUUUUUGACCAUACCUUUAUGUAAGGUGUCACUGUGAGGUGCUGUCCACAAGUUGGUGUCCUGAGUCACAUUUGGUAUAUAUUUGUAUCCAAACUCACAGCAUAUGUGUUGUUGUAUUUUGUACGACAAUUGUUGUAAUGAAAUUGUAGUUAUUUUCUAUACCAUGUAUUUGGCGACUCAGAAUGGGUUGGAUGGAAUGUACCUAUUUUGGGGUUGUCACAAUGAUCGAUUAAUAUUGUGAAUUAUAAUAAUGAUGAUAACUGUUGUUAAAUAUAUUGAAGUGCCUUUUUAUGAAAUCGGGGAAGUUUAUAUAUAUAUAUAUAUAUUAUAUAUAUAUAUAAAUAUUAUUUUAUUAGUAUUAUAAAUAUAAUAAAACAGAAAAGCUUUUUAUAAAAAACAGAAUACUUUUAUAAAGCUAUUUAUUUUAUUAGACAAUAAUUAGAAAAUAAUUUAUUUUAUUAUGCAUAGUGUUUUGCAUAGUAAAAUCUUUUCACAUAAAACAGAAUACUUUUAUAAAGUUAUUUAUUUUAUUAGACAAUAAUUAGAAUAUAUUAUAUUUUAUUAUGCAUAAUGUUUGCAUAGUGCCUGCAUAGUAUUUUGCAUAGUUAAAUUUUUGUAUAUAAAACAGAAUACUUUUAUAAAGUUAUUUGUUUUAUUAGACAAUAAUUAGAAUAUAUUAUAUUUUAUUAUGCAUAGUAUUUGCAUAGUGCCUGCAUAGUAUUUGUAUAGUAAAAUCUUUUUAUCUAAAACAGAAUACUUUUAUAAAGUUAUUUGUUUUAUUAGACUAUAAAUAGAAUAUAUUAUAUUUUAUUUAAAAGAUUUUGUUUUAUUAGAAUAAUUUAUUAAUACUGCAUAAUAAAUCUGUAUGGACCGUUCGUUUAAAAGUAAAUCAAUCUGGACCAUUCAUGAAUUAGUUACUAUUCAGUCCAUUCUCCUAUAAAUAGAAGCUCAUUCCUUCAUUAUUUCUUACGAAUUCACUGAAACUCUAGAGAGAGAAACUAUAGAGAGAAAGAAGAAAAGUAUUCCGCUACUUCAUUACUCCUAUAUCUAGUUUCUUCUAAGGUAAGGGGUAUUAUUUCUUUCGUAUUCAUGAAGAGAACUUAUGUUAUUCCAUUUUUUAUUAUUCUAUUGGAAUAACCUGUAUACGCGGGCUACCCUAUACUUGGUGAAAUUCGUCUGUUAUUCCAUUCUUUAUCAUUAUUUGGAAUAACUUGUCUAUGCGAAGUACCGCAUACAUGGUGAAAUUCUUCUGUUAUUCCAUUCUUUAUUAUUCUGUUGGAAUAUCCUGUCGGUGCAAAUUUUGCCUGACCUGGUUCCGUUAUUUAAUAUUCUGUUGGAAUAACCUGUCUGUGCGGUCUAUCGCAUGUCUGAUGAUUUCUUUUGUUAUUCCAUUCUUUAUUAUACUCAGUUGGUUAAAGUUUUGACUUCUAUAAUCCAUAAAAUUAGUGGAAUAUCCUUAAUAUUUGUGCUUCAUCUAGUAUCUUUUCAUAGAAAUAUUCUUUUGAGCAUUCUUGAAUUUUACUCUACAAAGAAGUAUCAUGUUGACAAUUUGGACGUUAUUAGUUACUGGAUAAAUUAAUUCUUGAACUUGUUUUAUUGAAUUCUUAUAUCAUUGCCAUCAUCCUCAUGUUUAUAUUAUGUUGAAAGUCAUCUGUGGCCUGUAGUGCAUAGAUGGACUUGGUAUGAUUAUGACUAGGGAUUAAUCGGUAUAAUCAUGACUGUAAUGUUACAAAUGAUGUGGUAAAAGUCCUCAUUGGCCCGUAGUGCAUUGAGGGACAGUUGUUGGCAUGAUCAUUACCAUUGAUGAAUACACGAAUAUCCUUGGCCCGUAGUGCAUGGAUAACUUGAGGUUGUGAUACUAAUAAAUAUCCUUGGCCGUAGUGCAGGGAUGAUGUAGAUUAUUUAUUAAGUUGAGUCCUAGCCAUAAAAGUGAUGAAAAACCUUUUAAAUCAUAAGAGAUAGUAGAUUUUAUUCUCUACUUGACUCUUUUAAUGGAUUGCUUGUUCCAAUGUAGUUAAACUUGAUGUUUGUUAUAUUGUAUCAGUUUAACACUAUUGAAGGCUAACGAUAAUUUAUUCUGCAUUAUCUUAGUCAUAAUAUUUCUUAUUGGGCUAGCUGAGCUCACCCUUUCUUUCACUUUUCCCUUCAGGAAAUGAGAACGUAGCCGGGACUAGUCAGGGAACGGAGUAACGGUCCAGAUGAUAGCAUUAGUAGUCCUCACUAUUCUGUUAAAUAGUGUGACAAUAAAUGUAAUGAGGACACCAUUGAGUGUGGAUAUUAUCUAGAUGACAAUAUUCUUAUUAAAACUCUUAGAUUAUGUUAUGUCGUAUUUUAUAUGACUGUUGUAUAAUUAAGUUCUAUUUGUAUUCUGUACCAUGUAUUUGGCUACUCAGAAUAGGUGAUAUAUACCUAUUUUGGGGGCGUCACACCAUCCAUCUCCUUUGCCGCAUGUUCAGGUCUUUCUGUGUGAAAAUAUACUUCAGACUUUUAUGGUCUGUGUAGAUUUCACAUUUCUCUCCGUAGAAAUAGUGUCUCCAUAUCUUCAGCGCGAACACGACCGCUGCCAACUCUAAGUCAUGAGUUGGAUAUCCUUUUUCGUAGUCUUUCAGUUGCCUUGAUGCAUACGCAAUAACCUUGUCGUUCUGCAUAAGGACACAACCCAAUCCUUUGUGUGAAGCAUCACUAUACACCACAAAGUUUCCUGUAUUAUCUGGUAAUGACAAUACAGGUGCCACACGUAACUUCUUCUUCAGUUCUUGAAAACUUUCUUCACACUUCUUUGUCCAAACAAAUUUUAUAGACUUUUUUGGCAAAUUUGUCAACGGAAUAGCAAUCUUGGAUAAAUCUUGGUUAAACCGUCUAUAAUAGCCUGCCAAACCCAAGAAACUUCUUACUUCUGAUGGAGUUCUUGGUUGUUCCCAAUUUAUCACUGUUUCAACUUUUGAUGGAUCCACGAAAAUUCUAUCCUUAUCAAUUACAUGCCCAAGAAAUUGUACACGUUCCAGCCAAAAUUCACAUUUAGAGAAUUUCGCGUACAACUUUUCCUUUCUUAACGUCUCCAACGUCAGACGUAAGUGUUCCACGUGUUCCUCUUGAGUUUUAGAGUACACCAAAAUAUCAUCGAUGAACACCACCACAAAUUUGUCCAAAAAUGUUUUAAACACCCUAUUCAUCAAAUCCAUAAACGCUGCAGGGGCAUUUGUCAAACCAAAAGACAUUACUAAAAAUUCGUAAUGUCCAUACCUAGUUCGGAAUGCCAUCUUCGGUACAUCCUCCUUCCUUACUUUUAAUUGGUGAUAUCCACUUCUCAAAUCUAUUUUCGAGAAAUAUCUAGCACCCUUCAAUUCAUCAAACAAGUCAUCUAUUCUUGGCAACGGGUAUUUGUUUUUAAUAGUGAUCUUGUUCAACUCCCUAUAAUCAAUGCAAAGACGCAUUGACCCAUCCUUCUUCUUCACGAAUAACACCGGGGCUCCCCACGGUGACUCACUCGGUUGAAUAUACUUCUUAUCUAACAGUUCUUGCAGUUGCAUCAUUAGUUCCUUCAUUUCCACUAGAGCCAUUCUGAACGGGGCCUUCGAUAUUGGAGCGGUUCAUGACGCUAAGUCAAUCACGAACUCGAUUUCUCGGUCAGGUGGAAGUCCUGGCAAAUCCUCUGGAAACACGUCCACAAACUCCCUAACUACCGGUAUUUCUUCCAAUUUCACCACCUUCUCCUUUUGAGUAUCGACUAUGUAAGCUAAAUACCCUACACAGCCUUGACUCAAUAGCUUUUUGGCCUGCAUCAUCGUUAGACAUUUCAUUUAUCUAGGCAAUUUACUACAAUGAAAAACUACCUUUGACGAAGUCAUAAGGUUUACACACUUCUUUUGGCAGUCAAUUAUCGCUCCAUAAUUGAACAGCCAAUCCAUUCCCAAAAUAACAUCGAACUCUCCGAGUUUUAUUGGAACUAAAUCUACCUUCAUAACAUUCCCCUUAAUGUUCACCCUACAGUUCUUGUAUACGAACCUAACAGGUAUCACUUCCCUAUUCGCAAUUUCUAUGUUUAAAGGGAAUUUCAACUCUUCACAAGGUAUUUCUAACUUCUUAACAAAAUCAUCAGAUAUAAACAAGCAAGUAGCACCUGAAUCAAAUAAUACAUAUGCAUCUAUAUCAUUGAUUGGGAUAAUACAUGACCCGACAUCUUUUGAUUACACCGCGUUCUGAACCAUCAUGUUGAAAGUUCUGGUCGUGGGCUUAUUUGUUGUUGUAGGUCUAGCAAUAGUCAGCGCACCUCCACUAGCAUUUCCCUUGCUCCCAUUUGUCUCAUCAGAUCUCUUCUUAGGGCAUUCACGAGCAAAGUGAUCCUUGGAUCCGCACGUGAAGAACAAAUUCUUCUUAGCUUGAGUGCAAUUUGGGGCGAUGUGACGCUCCUGGCCACAAUUGAAAACAUACUCGUUUCCCCAUAAAGCACACACCCUUGUGAAACUUUCCACACGUAGCGCAUGCUUCGAACUUCUUAUUUUGCUGGUUUCGUUGCUGAUUUCCAGCUCCCCCAUUCCCAUUCCACUUCCUCUUCAAAUUGUUUCCAUUUCCACCGUUACUACCACCACUCUUAGCUUCACCUUCGCUUUUCUUCUUCCUCUGCUCUUGAUUAUAUUUUGUUACUGCCACGCCUCCACUUUCAGUGAGAAUUUCUUUCUCCAUCAUUGCUGCAAAUGUCUUCAAUUGGAACAGGGAAACCCUACUGUACAACCAGGGUUUCAGUCCCUGCUCGAACCUCCUUGCCUUGCGCUCGUCUGUACUGACUUGAUAUGGCGCAAACCUCGCCAACUCGUUGAACCUUGCGGUAUACUCAGACACCGACAUUGUUCCCUGCUUCAGAUCCAAAAACUGAACCUCUAGCUGACUCUUCGAACUCUCUGGGACAUAGGUCUCGAAGAACAGCUCCUUAAACCUAUCCCAGCUCAUCACUCCUAGUCCUUCCCGAGUUUUAUUGGCCUGCCACCAAUAACUAGCCUAUGCUUUCAACAUAAACGUUGCAAAAGUAGUCUUCUGGUUAUCCUCUACCCUAGCAACAUCAAAUACCUUCUCGAUUUCCAUGAUCCAAGUCUGUGCUUCAACUGAAUUCAUGGACCCAUGGAAUUCUGGUGGUCCAACCGCCUUGAAAUCCUUAAACGUAGUACCUUGAUUCUGAGGUUGAUUCUACAAAGCACCCGUCAGUAACGUCACUAGCUGGUGAACUGGGUUCCCUUCCGCAUUGUUGUUAUUUUUUUCCUCAGUAGUUCUUUGUCGUGGUGGUUGACGUCUUGGAGGCAUUUUUUGUUAAAAUACACUCAUUAGAUUCUAUUCAACCUUUUAAGUAUUAUAUACUUAAGUUGCACAUCAUAAAAGAUUAUCACAUAACACUUAACACUUUGAAUAAAACAAUAACUUUUAUUCAUUCAUUAUCUUUAAAAAAAACAAUAAAAACAAUAGCAUCGCUCCUAUUUACAUUACUUUUCCUGAACUAUAACAGUUGCAGGACAACAUCAUCAACACCUAUCCCAUUAGUCAUAUCAUAACCGGGAUUUACAUUUCGUUUAUUUUCAAACCACCUAUCAAUUAUAUUUUCUACAAUGUCCUACUAAGAUACUGUGUAGCCUUACGACGCUCUUCCUCCAUGAUUCGGAACAUUGUUCGGCGAUCCAAUAUGUAUGAUGGUAGCGUCUCGAACUGAAUCGGAUAACCCAUGACUCGAUCUUGAGCUCGAUUGAUCACGGUGUUGAAUAUGUUGUUCAUCUCUUCCAUCUUCCUCCUCUUUGAUUGUGCGUCCCUCUCUGCUAUUCCAGCUCGUUAAGAAGCUUCACUGUAUGCAUCUUCGGCUCUUGCCCUUUUUGUAGAUUCUUCUUUCAACUUGUCCUUCAACUCUGUAAUCUCUGCCAUCAUUCGCUCGUUCUCUCCUUCAGUGUGGACCAGCUUCUCUUCAACGUUGUUCAGUCGUUCUUCUCGAUCCUGGAUCUCAUCGUCUUUCUGUGCCAUCGAGGUCUGUUGUUCAACUACUAUCUCCUAUAACUCCUCGACGGUGUCCUGAAGUUCCACAUUACGGUCAUACACCUCAUCGUACAUACGGGCAGCUAUCGAACUAAGUGGAAGCUCUUCCUCCUCUUCCUCCUCAUACGACUGUGGCAGCUCCACGGGGUCUUCCUCGUCCGUCUCUAUCUCAUCCUCCUCAUCAGGUACUCUCUCCUGCUCAACUACAGUGACCGACGGAACUGUUUCCCGUGGCAGUAGUUGUUCCCAAAUCACCUGAAUAUCUCGAGGCUCCUCCUCCCUAGCCUGAGUGUAUCCUCCUAUAAUAGUCAUCGUGUCAACCAAAGUUUAAGUUUUAAUUACUAAUCAUAACUACUCGACACUCACGGGCACAUAAGUUGUAAUCACAUAAGCACAUAAGUGUUUCAUUACUUUCUCUUUCCUAAAACUCGAUAAGAGUUUAUCAUUACUAUCUUUUCAAAGGUUACUUCCUAAGGCUUUUCCCCACCUAAGGUUCAUAACCUAAGGCUUUGAUACCAACUUGUGACACCCCCAAAUCUAGGUACUUCAUUCCCACAAGAUUUAGUGCUCACUAUCCAUACAUUCAUACCAUCUACCCAAAUAAAUACUAUUUAAGCCAUAAUCCUAAAUAGGGUUACACCAUUAAAUUCAAAAACAAUACCAGGUUAUCUAACCUUUAAACAUCAUUCAAGUGCGGAAAUAAAAUUUAUUACAUCACAUCAUUAUUAAAAAGUCUGAGAUCAUCAUAAUAAAUAAAAGUACAAAUCAGCAUCACUUGUACAAUUUUUCCUUUCCUUUGCUAAUUGAAGGUUCAUCUACCUUCUCCACUUUGGCUGCAAUGAGUAUAUAAAUAUGCAAGAGUGAGCAAAACAAUUGCUCACUGGAUAUAAUAAAGAAUCAACAUGAGAAUAACAAUAAUAACUGCCAACGAAUAGGAUCAUCAAAACUGAAUAGUACUCUAUCAAUGAUAAUCAGGAACUAGAAUCCAAAAUAUGGAAUAUACAUAGCUGAGGGUCAUAAGACCAUGAACUAUGUCCACAGUUGCGAGUAAUCUUUCAACUCCAACUUUAACAGUCAUAAGACUAUAAUAACUCCUCGUACUUAGGGGGAUCAGCCCUUCGUACAAUGUAUUGUGCACAAACAUUUUAACGCUACGCGUAAAUUAUCCCCUAAUAAUAGUAGGGUUGUUCAUCUAAGUAUUUAGAGUACAAGUUCGCACCAAAGAAAGUUUGGUUUGGAUAAACUUUCAAGGGUAAUUUGAAUUUUAACGAACAUCAACUAGAGGACUAGUUGAAUCAAUAGUGUUUGAUAAUUACAACAUAACAUAGAAUAAUUGAGAAUCAUAAAUGAAUUGAUUAUACAUAUUAAACUCAUGCUUGAAAUAACUAUAGAGCAUAAGUACUCAACAAAAUGAAUAAAGUGAUAAACCUUUGCUUGAACAGAAAAUAAGCUAAGGUUAGAGUCCAAUAACAUUAGAAAUGAAAUUACUGAACAUACAUUGACUGAUAGCAAGCUGGAAACUAAAGACUUGCCCAACAUGGUAUUAAUUCAUGCAAGGAUUAAAAACAGUUCAAUAAUAGAGACGAGAGUUCAAACUGUAUUUAUUAUACAAGAAUAUAACUCAAGAACUUGCUUAACCAGAAACAAGUUAGAAUGAAUCAACAAAAAUGAGAAUUCAAAUAACAUUAGAAUUAAAGUUUGCUCGAAUGAACUCUAGGGACAAUUGAUUUUUUCAAUCAACAGUUGAAAUAGAAAGCUUACUCUAUCAAAGGAUAAAGCUACAUAAUGUAAUAAUGGAACUAGCUCAAUGAAAUUAAAGAGUUAGGAAACUUUCUCAAUGUAAAAGAUAGAGUUUAGAAACUUGCCUUGAGCGUAAGAUGUUCAUUUCUAGCUAAACUUAUCAUUUACACAAGUCUUUCAUUACCACUUACAUUUUAGAAAUUCCAAGUGUUUUACUUUGCAACACUUGUCUAACGUUUAUCACAUAAUGCGUUCUCGGUUUACUAAUCACUUUUAAAAUUGUGAAUUCAUAAUCCAUAUAACAUGAUUCUAAUUAACCUUGUUGUUACAUGAUUCUCACACUACCAUAACCUUAAGCUAAGCCACAAAGAAUGACCAAAGUCUGGAAAACAAACAAACUUCAGUGUCUGAAAAUGGGCACUCGCGCGGCCGCGCGAGUUUUAUAUGGGGAUGUCGCGCGCCCAUACCCAAGGGCCUCGCGGCCGCGCGACUUACAGAACUCAGUUUGAAGAACAGAGCCACGACACUUUUCUUAAGCCAACUAACAAAAAUUUCACCCAUUAAACAGUGAUAUUAACACAUAAAAUAAAUCUACAACUAUCAUAGACAUGAUUGCUAACCUAUUCAACCACUUAGCACAAUUUAAUAGUAACUAAAACUAUUUUAAUUUCUUAAUUUUCAUGUUUUUAUGAAAAACUCAAUUUUCUUGACAUUCAUCCUAAAAAUCAUCACUGUAAAUUCAUUAUAUAAUCAAAUCAUCUCAUUCAAAUUACAUUAUGUUCGUAUCUCAAUGAACUAACAUCUACAAGCUUCAAUUUAUACUUUCACAUACAAAUUAGUCAAUUAAAUUAAUGCUUACUCAAACCACAUGAAGAACAUAAACACUGACAUUAUAUUUUUCUUACUGUCGAACAAUUUAGCAUGCAAUUUCCUUGUUUGAACAUUACUUCAGCAUUACAAACAUGUAUAACCACAAUUAUCAACUAUAUAUGUCCAUAAUUCAACAAUUGAUUUUACAGAACAUAAGAAAAUUCUUGUCGUGAAAUACAUAUACACAUAUACAUUAUCACAGUUAUGAACAUACCUUAAAUUAGUGUGGUAACUCUUGCUAACCCACUGGAAUUGCUUGAAAAUCCUAAGCUUUCUCUCAAUUUCUCUCAACUCUCAAUUCUCUCUAUUGCCUCUAGGCUAGCAAAAUUAGAAUGAAGCUCUGAUAGCCAGUAUGCGUAAUAACCAAAAUGAAAAACUGAUAUUCUUAAUACGCCAACUUAAUUAUAAUAAUGGUUACCACAUAAACGUAUAUAAUAUAAAUAUAUUAUAUUUAUUAUUUUAUUUAUAUUAUUAAAUUCAAAUUUCAAAAAUUAGAAAUAUCAAAAGUCAUAAGGCUUGUUUAGCAAAAACCCUUUAAAUUUUAAAGAGUUAAUAUAUUAAACCUUGUUUGGCAAAACUAAAUUAAACCCUUUUUAAUUUAUUUUAAUAAACACUUUAGUUUAUGAUUAUAAUUACAUACUAUAUUUUAGAUAAAUAUUUCCCACUUUAUCAAAUACCACAAAAUUAUAAUUUCAUGUUAUACUUUUAUUUGAUAAUUUAAUAUAUCAUACCAUAUUAAAUUAUUAAUCACAAUAUAACACACCUCGUGUUAUAAUACACAUCUCUAAAUUAUAAAUUAAUUUAAUUUAAAAAUUUAUCUAAUAUAUUUAGAUUUACAAAUAUUUAUUAAUGACCAUCACAUCAAUAAUUAUUUAUUCAACAAUAAACACCUCAAAUAAAUAUUUAUAUAUUUUAAUAAAUAUUUAAAAUUACAAUUUGAAAUUUUGAAUCGUUACAAUUUGGAUUUCGAGAAACCCAAAAGACGGAACCAUGAAACUUAUAGGCUAAGUUUCGUGAAUAGUAAGGAGGUUAACUUAAGGAGUAAGUAAACUUAAGGGCUACGAAAACUUAAGGGCUAAGUAAACUUAAUGAGUAAGUAAACUUAGUGCUUAAGUCAUGAAUAGUAAGGAGGUUGGGGGCGAAAUAACUAAAAUACCCCUAGCUUGGAAAUUCUAUAAAUAAGAAGCUUAUUUCAUUUAUUUGGGAUUUUAAAAAUCCUACACCUUAGAGAGAGAGAGGGUUCGGAUGAAGAGAGAAGAAGGAAGAGAAUGAGUAUGAAUGAUCAGAUCGAAGGUGAUCGUGAAAUAGAAAAGCUUGCAAAUCACCGGCUUUGUCUAGCGCAAGAAAAAUAAAGAAGAGAAGUAACCUAAAACCUAGUCGAAUUUAAUUUCUCUUUAAGUCCUAUAAGUUAAUAACAUAACUUAAUAAGAAUAAGAAGUAAAUGAUGUUAGGAAUGAUUUCAUAUGGUUGAAAUCAUAAGAAAAAGAAGAAAUAAGAAUUUGAAGUUUAUUUUAUAAAUUUCUUAAGGAAGUAUAAGAUUCGUAAUGAAUUAGAAUGAUCCGAGUGGAUUAUAUAAAUAAGUAGGUGAAAUAAGUAAGGAAUGAUGUUCUAUAACAUCAAAUUCUAAUAAAAAGUGAAAUUGUAAUCCAAAAUAUCGAUUAAAAUGAAGAACGAACAAAGAACACGAAGAACACGCGAAGAACACGAAGAAUGUUGUUGAUGGACAAAUUUAAAAUCAUCGUAGGAUAAUUGUUAUUGAUGGACAAGUUUAAAACCAUCGUGUAUAAGUUAGAUUCUUAUUGAUUGGUUAGGAAUGGUAGAAACGUUCAUGAAGAACGGAUUAAAACUUAGCUAUAAUGAAGUUAUGGCAAAAAUUUUGUAAAAGACAAACGAGAAUUAGAAAGUUAGUAAAUGAACCCGAACAUAUAGGGUUUCAUAAGAAUGUAAGAGAAUGUAGAAAACGUGGGUCGUGGACUCAAGAACGAACGAAUUCUGAGUUCGGAUGACCGAAUUACGGACGAACGAAUGAAGAGCGUUAAAAAUGUAAAACGAACGAAGGGUGAAGAUUAAGCCAAUCGAAUGACACGUUAAUGGAUUCAAAAUGAAGUUCUGUCCAAAGGGGAUUUAAAUACAUAAGAUAAGGAAGAGAAUUACUUUGGAACGACCUCGUUCUGAGUUAUAACGAAUAAGUUAUGGAAGCGUGAAGUAAGCGUCUCAAAUUUGAUUUAAGACUUAAAAAAAAUUCAGGGAUUAGGGCUUGGUGCCGCAGCGCGAGCUGUGCCUUGGGAGGCAGUGCCGCAACGCCACACUCGGCAGUUAGACACUGCAGAGUGGCGAUGUAGCGCGAGUGAUAAAGAGGGACUCGGCGCCGCGGCGCUGGUGCAGGGAAAAAGCUAGUGAUGAGCUUUUAAGUGCUCAAGUACUGGGGGAUGUGCAAGAAAGGAAUAUGAACAUGUUGUACGGUUUCGACACAGAAACACAGCAGAAAUAAACUAAUUUAAAGCAAUUCCGAAACCCAAAACAGGAUCCGUGCGAAAAUAGAAAUUAAUUCAGUGGUUUAGAUAUUAUACCGAUUAUGAAAGAUUUUUGAAAUGGCUUCUAAUCCUUUACGCAAUCCAAUCCGAAUCACGCCUCUACGGUAUCCACACGAACAUCGCACGAACCGUCGAACGAUUGUGCAAUAAAGGGACUGCGGUACUAGCCACAAAAGGAACAAGAUUUUGGAACUGUUUUCUCUCUAGUCUCUCUCUAAGAGCGGCUAGGGUUUUUUAAAAAUGAUGUAACCCUAAGUUGCUGCUAUAUAUCAUAUAUAUAGUAGUUAAAAGGAAUUAAUCAAAUUAAAACCUAAUUUCAUAAAAUUUGAAUUUAUAUAUAUAUAUAUAUAUAUAUAUAUCUCUUAAUUAAGUCUUACUUAAUUAAUAUACAUAUAUACAAAUUAUCCUUUUAAUUUAAAUUCGUGAUUUAAAUACUAUUAAUCAUAUUAAUAUAUUUAAAUCCUUAAAAUUUAAAUUAAUUCCCUUUUAAAUAACGUUCUAUGUGUGUGACCCUAUAGGUUAUUAUUACGUUGGCAAUAAUUUUAAAAUCAUAUUAUAAAAUUAUAAACAGUGAGCGGCAUCUAGUAAUGCAUCACUGCUACCCAAGUAAUAAUAAGAUCGAUGAUUCGAUGCAACCUUUUCGUGACCAAUGUUUCAAUGUAAUUUAAUCCUUUUAACCUUAAUAUCCUAGAUUAAACUCGAGUCAUGGAAUGUGUCAUACUCUUCAUAAUUUAAUCUGAGUUUUCUUGAUCAAUGAGUAGACUAUAUGAAACAAAUCACUAUUUGAGCAUGGCCAUGCAUUUCAUAGUCCUACUCAAUCAAGAGGCCUAUGGAUAUCACCCAUAAUAUAUAGGAUGGUUAAAUUCCAUCUAGAUCACUCAUAUUUCUCACACGAUUAAUGAUGAACCCAAUAAUCACCUUUAUAGUCCACCCUAUUAAAGGUGACAUUUGAUGAUAUCAAAGUACAUAAAUUCUCGUGUAGUAAUAUAGCGAUUUCAGGUCGGAGGACCAUUACAUCAUUGUCACUAUGAGAAUUGCUAAUGACACUUCGCAUAAUGCUCCAUAUAGAAUUCUCAUGGUGGGUCUGUCCAGUACAUCGUUCUCUAACAUGUACCUAUGCAUUGAUUUAAUAUCUCACAUAUUUAUGACCAAUGAGAUUUGGUCAUCAGUCUAUCCACAUACUAGUCUCAAUGCAUCAUUGUUGUCCCAUCAACAAUGAUACUCGACUAGGGACAUUUAAGAACAAUGAUACUAAUUGUAAUUAUAUAAUCUCAUGUUCAAGUCACAUACUUGAAACUAUAUAAUUUGUAUCACUAUUCUAAGAAAUUUUAUUAUGUUAACAUAUAUAUAACGUAGUAAAUAUAACCAUAAUAAAAUCAUUCAUUUAUUCAAUCAAAUAUAAUAUCAAAAUGUUAAGCAAUUAUAUCAAAUAAUUGGCCUCUAGGGCAUAAACUCUAACACAUGUAGUUCACCUGGAAUAACACUUAAACAAGUGAAUUAAACCUUUAGUACAGGUUGAAUAAAAUGAUCGAAAGAGAUUAAAAGAUCAAGAAGAGAAUAAACGUAAAUAUAAACGUAACGUAAUUGCAAGCAGUCUUAGCAUACAACGAACAGUAUGGCUUCGACAUUAAGAAAGAGUAAUGAACAUGGGGUUCAGGUAAUGGAUAACGAAAGUAUUAACUAAGAUAAAAAUGGUAACAAGAAAGCCGUAACGAAUGGUAAUAAGAUUAAUGAAAGCCGAUCGUGUUUCAAAUAGAAAAAUGAUAGAAUUAAUUGUAUGUAUGGAACAUUUUAACCAAUGUGAAACUUAAGUGUACGCAAAUUUUAAGCGGAUAGAACCUACACUCCGUGUAUGGUUUGACCGUGAGAUAAUGAAGAUCAAUGAUUAAACUAUGAAUGGUAAAAGACUGAAUUAAAGACAAUGACGUUUAACGUAAUGAAGCUGAGUAAUGAUUAACUUGAAUUAUCGCUCUGAGUAUACAAAAGACUGUAUGACUUAGACGAUAAAGAGUGAGUCCUAAGGUGUGGCAUUUAGUUGCUAGGAAGACAUAAGGAAUGAGAAAUUGACUUAGCAAAGAUUAUUGUUUAAUAGUUCGGAUAAGUUAAGAUAAGUUAGGUUGUGGUGCAAUCAUAACCUUUGAUGGUUGACAUAUGGGAGCUGGGCUAAACAAUUCUUUCUAAGAGCAAAGGUAUAUACAAAAUUGGCAACCGAUCUAACUCACUGUGAUGGUAGUGUAGACGAGACGGGAACUUGUUUGUUGGUUGUUUGUGGGAAACCACUCAGAGUACCAUAUGGACUACUAGCAGAGAAACGAUGUAUGCUGAGUCCUAGAGAAGUUAUAAGAAGAAGAUAAGAAUGUAAAACAUCAAAGAUGAUGAACGUAUAAGUAAGACAUCUCUGUAAUGCCCCCAAAUUCAGAUACUUGAAACUCGAACUCAGUGCAUUACGAUACCAUUUCUAUGAGCGGAAAUAAUAAUAUUAUCAUAAAUAUCAAAUUUAAUGUACAUAUCAGAGUCUAAUCCCAGGUACGCGACCGUAAAACAUUUCAUUACAUGAUAAAUAAUAAAUAUAAUCAUCUUAUUUAAGUCUAACUACUACAUAAGAUAACUCAAACUUAUUCGGGUAGCUUUCCUUUCCUUUUGUUCUUGGCAGAGCCCUCUGGUCGAUUAUACUUAACUGAAAACAUUUAAAUUAAGCAAGGAUGAGCAUUUGAGUGCCCAACAAGUAAUAACAAUUAUAAAUAUUAGCUGAAAGGAUUAAAUGUUUUCUUUAUACUACCCUUCUACAACAUAUCAAAAGUUGUGAAAUAAUCUGAACCGAACAUAUUAACUCUCUAUCAAAUUUCUGAAACUGCAUACUGACUAUGAACAUUAUUUUUCAUUUUCGCUAAGGUUUAGCAGAACUUCAUCCGCAAACCGUCAUAACUUACGGACAUGAGGGUGAUCUGCCCAAUGUGCCCUAUAUUGAUCAAUACUACAUGCAAGAACGAUAUUAUCGUUCACUCUAGCCGCCUUGGGCGCAUAAAAGUUUUCCUAUGUUCGGGAUGUUCAUACAUAGUCGGGAAUCCAAAUCAAAAUAAUUUGAUUGGAUACAAAAAGGUUUUAUCAUAUUCAACGAUAUUUCUGAAUCUGUGUCUAGCUGGGUCAAAUAGUUUAGACGUAUAUAUAUAUAUAUAUAUAUAUAUAUAUAUAUAUAUAUAUAUAUAUAUAUCAACAUGUGAUUAAAUAUAAUGAUUAUCCAAGUGGGGACACUUGUAUAACCAUGUUUAGGAAUUAACGAACGAAAUAUAUAUCUGAAUUACCAUAUACUAACAUGUUGAUAAACAAUGAUCGGAUAUAGAAUAUAUCACAAUAGGGUUAAUAAUUUAGCAUAAUAAUAAUAUAAUUCUGAAACUUCUUACUUAUGUCCAUUGCAUAAAGAAAAUGCAAAGGUAAGAUACUUGCUCAAUAAUAAUUGGAGUAAGUAUAAGAAAUUUGCCUGGUUUGCAGCUUACUGUUACGAAAACUUAGUUUUCUCUUUUAUAUCAUGACCUAUCAUUAAUAAGAUCAUUCUAUCGAUUAGAAUCACAUAUCAUAACACAUAGUACUACUUAUUGCAGUCAGCACAUAACCUAAUCACAUUGGCACACAUGUUUCACAGUCAUUAAAUCACAAAUAAACACAUAUACAGUCAAACUAUCUAAGCUUGUAUCAAUUUCAAAGACAUGUCGGUGUACCGACGGUUUAUCGGGUACUUACCGAGUUUAAAACUCUAUUCAAUACCCUUAGUAUUAUUCUGGACAACCUAAGUAUCAGUCAUAUAAUUUUUUAUAGCCGUAUAACAAUAUUCAAAUAAUUAUUAUAAUUUAUCAUGAAUUUUCAAACACCGGAAUCAUUAUAAAAUGAUUUAAACAUCAAAUAAUUCUAUUAUCAUUAAUAUUUAAAUAAUAUUAAACUAUUAAUGAAACCAUCGCCAAAAUAUUAAAGUUAGUUAUAAUAACUCAGAAUAUUAUUAAAGUACUAAUAAUACCCUUAAAUAAUUUUUAAAAUAAUUAAAAUCAUUUUUAAAUAAUUACAAUUAAUAUUAAAAUAUUAAUCUAUUAUCCCUCAAAAUAUUAAAAGUCAUUAAGUAUAACUACAAAUAUUUUUAAUUCAUUUAUAUCCUUUUUAAAUAAUUUUUAAAUCAAUAAAACCAUUUCAAAACUAUUUAUUUAAUAUAAUUAUUAAAUAAAUUUAAUAUCAAUAAUAUUAAAUAAUUAAUAUUUUUCAUGACAAAAUAUCAAAAGUUAUAUUUUAUAACUUCAAAUAUUUUUAUAACCUUUAAAUCAUAUUUAUAUAAUUUUUAAAUCAUUAAUUCUAUUUUUAUAAUUUAUUUAAUACAUUUAUUAAAGAACUUAAAUAUCAUUAAUAUUAUUUAAUUAAUGAAAUUCAUCACAAAAUAUUAAAAAUAACUUAAAAUAUUUUCUUAUAACAUAAUAUAAUUUUAAAUGAUUUUUUAAGUAUUAAAAUCAUUUUUAAGUAAUUUAUUUAAUAUAAUAAUUAAAUAAAUUAAAUACCAGUAUUAUGCCAAAAUUAAUAAAUAUUAAUGAAAUAUAUUCAAAAUAAUUAAAAACUCAUUUUUAGACUUUAAAAUAUUUUUUAGGAAUUUAUUUUGUAUUUUUAAUAAUUAAAAACUAUUUUUCUCUAUUUUUAAUCAAUUUUUAGAAAUUAAUUAAUUAAAAUUAACUAAGUCUGUCGCUAAAGCCUUUGGCGACAGAAAGCGUCGCCUUAGGUGUUCUUGAGGCUCAAAAACAUCAAUGUCAGUGAUCGACUAGUCAUGUUUGACCAGUCAUACAUGUCAGGUUAUGAGAUUUCUGGGCAUGUUAUAACUUUGAUCAUGUAUUACUAAUGUAGUACUACAAGACAUAACAACUAACAAGAUCAUACAACAUAACAAGUAGAUCUGUUCCUUCAAACUCACUAUCAGGGCUUUUUGGGUUUUCUGGGUUACCCAGAAACCCAGUCAGUCACGAGGGUCCAAUUUGAAGCUCAAAUUCCUAUAGGUUCUGGUCAUUAACAAGUUGAUUUUAUGGUUCAAGCUUAUAGUAUAUAUAACAAGGUACACAUAACAUUCAUCAGAUCAAUAAAACUACAACAUAAUCAUAAGCUAGAAUCCGGUCAAACAUUGUCAGAGAGGUUGUUCGUCCUCUUUUCUGAAAAUUCCAGAAACGCAAAAAUCAGUGCAAGUGGCCUACUUUGACCGUCGAAUACUUUAAUCAUACUUGUCAUUUAGGUGAUAUAAAGUCAUGCAUUUGUAGUACAUAUUGCAUACUAUAACACGAAUGCAACAACAUGUACAAAACACAUAAAACCUGCAAGAUCUGAACCCAAGAACUAUCUGUCAGACCAACCUGAGGAAAUCUGGGUUACCUAGAAAUCUCCCGGUCAAUGCCGGUCAACGAUCUUUGUCUGUUAAUAACAUGAAAUAUGUGCAUCAUAUGAUCAUUAUUUCAGUUGCAGAGCAAAGACAACAUAUCAGGCUAUGGAUUUAACACAUAAAACAACAACAAUCAUGAACACAGAAGAAUCUAUGGGGUCUGACAUUCAUUGUCAGACAACAUAAAUUAAAAUUUCCAGAUUCUUGAAAACUCCUAUUUCGAGCAUCUAAGUGUUAUGGAUCUGAGUUAUAACAACCCAGAUCACUAAAUGACACCUACUAACAUAACUUUAAACAAUAAACAACAACAAAUAACAUAAAUCACAAGGAUUUCUUGGUUUAGGGUUUUUAUACCUUUCUAUGAACCAAAUCUUGAUCUAAUGCUUCUGAUCUGCUACAAGUGUUAGUGGGGCUUGAGUAGUGACUGGUCUAGCAACAAAAUUUCAGAUGUUUGAAGUUGAGAGGGUUUUGGUUGAGUGUUGUGAUCAAAUGUGGCUUGAAUGUGACAUUUUCUCCUUCAUAAUCUAUAUAUAAUUUGAUAAAAUUGUUAGGGUUGAUCUUGCUUAUUGAUUAAAGGCUAUUACUAGACCACAUGGCUAUGUUGAGUUGGUUUACCAACUAAAGUUAUGGCAACCUAUACAAGUUAUCUAUUAAAUAAUGCAAGAACGGCAAUUUGGUCAUUUGACUUUUACUUUUAGUGGCAAAGUUAUCAAUUCCUUUCUAACCUUUAGGGUUUGACCCUUAGGGUUUAACCCUUAUGGUUUAACCCUAAGGUUUCCUAUGCUCUAAAUCUAGAAUUGUGUAUUAAGGGUAAAAUGGGCAUCUUAGUUUCUAGAAAUGUGAAUUAGGGUUUCCUAAUUGAAUUAGGUUUCCUAAUCACUUUAGGCUUGCAAAAUAGGCUUUGUAAAAUACUAAUUACUAUUAAGCUUGCUAAAUUAGCAAUUAGGGUCUUGAUCUAGUAAUUAGGGUUUCUAAAUGUCAAUUAGGGUUUACCUAAUUAACAUUAAACAUAAUAAUGAUCAUAAAACAUAACUUAACAAAUAUUACAGUCAUAUUUGACAUUGUACUAUAGUUUAUCAGUAAUACUAGGGUUUGUAUUAUUUUACUAUAACUGAUCUAGAAAUUAACAUUACACACAUAUCAGGCAUAUUUCUAUUACUGAAAUAUAAAUAAUAUUAUAUUAUUAUUCUCAUGCCUUAUUCAAAAUCCAGACAUAGGGUUUUGAAUUCAUAUCUGACAUAACCUUCAUACAUACUAUCAUUAAUUAAGUUAAAAUAAUUAACCUAACCAAUAUAAUAAAAUACAUAUCAUAAGAAUCCUAGUAAUCAUAUCAUAUAUACCAUAAUCAUAUUUUCAUGGAAAAUAAAUAAUAAAUAUUAUAAAAUUAAUUUAUUAUAAGAAUAUAAUCUAUAAUAAUCAAUAAGUCUAAAAAGAAAUUAUUUACAUCUAAUAAAUAAUUUUAUUUAUUACAUAGAUACAUAUACUUUACUUUGCAAAUAUUUUCACCUUUAUAUAUAUAUAAAAAAUUAAAUCGCAAAAAUUCUUAUUGAAAAUAUUGGGUUAUUACAAUCUCCGUAUGUCAUGAAGCCGUAGAACGGUAAUGAAAGUGGUCGCGUAAACUUAGGUUGCAAGAACGCGAACCCUAAGAAGUAAAGUUAAGCAAAUCAAUGUAUAAGUCAAAUAUAUAUGACUAAUUGGUGUAUGUAGUGUUUUCUUAUGUUUUAUAUAGGAAUUAAAAUGAGCAGUUUGGCGUAAGCUAUAGCUGGGCGUAAGGCAAGUUUCCUAACUUCAUUCAUAUUUUAAAUGAAUGCUAGUUUUUAAAACUUCUCAGAUGUUGAACUUUAGAAGUUUUGUCUAUGUGCGAAUGUGCGAUAUUUGUACAAGGUGGUAGAACGUAUGAGGCCUUGAGCCACAAUGUAAACACUUCGGUGUUUCUAUGAGAUGAACUGUCCUGUGAUUUAACUGUUCAAUAAGAGAAUGCUCUGUUUAUACAUGAUCCGUUAUUGUUAAGUCUGUGCUAAUGAUUCUAGCUAGACAAAAUGUAUAUGAAAAAGAUAGAAGAAUGAAAGUAUUUAAAAAUGAAAGUGAAUAUUGUUUUAAAAUGAUAUGAAUCGAGAUUAUUCCUAUUAUUUAAGCUGCUUCAUAACCUUGUUCGGUUAUUGAAGUCUAAAAGAAUGUUUGAAUUCUUGAAGUUGUUUGUUCAACUGCUAUGACUUGUUGAGCAAUUGAAUGCUCACACUUGCUUUAAAUGAAAAAAAAAAUCAGCGAACGAUGCUAGAAGAACUUAAGGAUCUCAUAAAGAUCAAGCUGACUGGUAUCCAGAUGCAGUGUCAUUCAGUAUGUGAAUGAGCGUGAAGAUCAAGCGAAGACUUGUAAUAUAAAAUAAGUUAAAUGAACUUUAGAUUAGUUUAAUGAACUAUUAUAUAUCCUUAGUGGCGGAUGAAAGUCACUCAUGUAAGAUGUAAAGAAUAAUGUAAUUAUCAUUAUUUGUAAUGAAAGGAGUUAUAAGGUUUUAGAACCUGGGAAAUUAGAAUGUAUUUUGUUAUAUUUGAGUAUAUAAUGAUGUAUGUUUGGAUGAAUGAUGUACUCGUGAUGUACAAAAUCCAGGUGUGAAGAUAGACCAGAUUUCGGGGCGUUAAAACAUGGAGUGCUGGUAUCUAUUGUCUUUGAUCGAGACCCGCUCUUCACAUCAAAUUUUUGGAGAAGCUUGAAAGAGAGGAUGGGAACACAGAUGAGGUUGAGUACCGCAUAUCACCCUCAGACAGAUGGACAAAGUUAACGAACUAUACAAAGGCUAUAAGACAUGCUUAAGACUUCUAUUUCCACAUCUUAUUAAAUGAAUAUACUAUUGGAAAUGAAUAUUUAUUUAAAAAAAAUAUUGAUGUGCUGUGAAAUGAAUAAUUCAACUAAGUUUAAUUGAAUUUAUACGAAUGUGGAUUGUGAUGAGAAUUGAGUAAUGCCUUGUAUGGUAUGAGAAGGGAAUUUAAGCGAUUAAAUCGAGAGGAAGAUUAAUCGUGUAUGAUCGUCUGAUUUCAUAUAAGUAAUGAAUACACUCUUAGAUUUGCAAUAUCACUCACGUGGACAUUAAUUCAUGUCAUGUAAAACUAGUAUGGCGAUAAAGGUUGGAACUGGCUUGAAGUUAAACUAGGUUGGCACUGUCAGGGUAUGGCGUAACUGCGCCCUCCCAGCAGUACAAACUAGCGUAGCUGCGCCAGUGAUCAGUUGGAGAAAUUUGAUUUUCUUUUGUAGAAAAGAAAUGGAACACUUAUAUAAUAUGUGUGACAUUAAUAAACCAUACGAUACGAGUACAUUUUAAUGACAUGAAGUACCUAGUAGUACAAUGAAAUCCUAUAUAGUUGUAAUACAGAAAUGAUAAAAUAUCUGUGUAUUCUAGAAACUGGGAAAGGAAUUAAAUGUUUAAAUAAGCAUUAAUAUUAAAUAAUGUUAUAAUGUGGUUAUGAGUAGUAAAAAUAAUUAUGGGGGAUACCCGGACAAUAAUGCCUAACUACGAUAUUUUAUUGCGUGUAUUUGAUAUACAUGGAUGAUAUGAUGUGAGUAUAUAUUAAUCCCUACAUUCCUAACAUGGUAACAAUUGUACCUUAAUAUUACAUUAUGGGAAUUAAAAGGACCAAACCAAGCCUUAGUUACUAAAGUUGUUGAGAUUUUUCUCUCUUGUCCCAAAUUGAGUGUCACUAAGUACAUGAAUAGUAACAUGAAGCUAACUUACAUAUUUUCCAAAAGGCUAGACUUAGGUGAUGAUGGCUAGGCCUUUGGGUGAUUGGCCAACUCUCAAUUAACCAAUGUAUUCUUCCAUUACACCAUGAACCCAACCUUAGUGUAAUGACAAUAUCUAGUCCAAGUUCCUUCUAUAAAUAUAAGCUCCAUUUUCAAUUUUUGGUUGCUUGUAAUUGUCUUAUGAUUCAAAACUUGAGUAAUUCUAAGUUGCUGAGCAUACUAUAGAAGCAUACUCAGAGUGUAGGAGAUCAAAUUCAAGCUCAAGAAGGUAUAAAUUCUAACUAUGUUCUUGAAAUGGGUCUAUUUAGUUCUUAAAAUUUCUUGAAUUCAUAUGUCAGUUGAUAUAAAUUAACAUGUUAUAAUGUGUUUAAGAAGUUUACUAAUAUGUAUGAACUCUUUAAUAAAGGUUUGGAACAUGUUUGAAUUGUUGGAAAUCAAGUUAGUAGUUACUCUGCAAAACAUAGUAUACUUACUGCUUCUGAACUCGACGUGGCGCAGCUGUGCCCUGUUUGUACUAGGGUGCAGCGCAGCUGCGCCGUACCUCAAACCCAAUUGAUGGAUUUUGUCAUGCUAGGUUGUUGCUAAUAUGGUAUUAUGACUUGUAUACACAUGAGAAAUAGGUAUGACAUGUGUUAUAAAGUUUCCUUAUGUAGUAUGAAAUGUCCAAUAUGAUUUGGUAGAAGAUCUUUAACAAGGACUUUAAAUUUUGAAAACAAACUUGUUAAAGUUCAUGUUCUGCAGAUUUUGAGCUUAAUAGUCUACACACAUGACUGAUUCACACAUAAAUGAACAUGAUAUAUGAUUCAUAGUUCCUUUGUUCAUGACCACCUUAUUAGAAUUUGUGUUAAAGAAGUUUUCAAGAAAAAGCUUAGUAUAGUGAGCUAACAUGCAUGACUACUACAUGAUUUAUAUUCUGAUCUUGCGAGCAUGAUAACAUGACUUGACUACAUAUGAUUAGAGCCUUUAAGUUGUCCUGUAAGUGUUCAAUUGCAUUGUUCAAGUUUAAAAUGGUUUCAAAAGUAAACUUGAACAUAUUUUUAAAAUAUAGUUGCAUCACAUGAAUAUCUUGUUAAAUAGUGAUAAUUGUGAAUAAGCAAUAUGAAUACUAUAAGCAUGAGUAUUAAUAGAAUGUAUGACAUCAUUAUGUAGACUUAUCGUCAAAGUUAUAAAGUGUGGUGGUUGUAUGACCUUUUAAGCUUUAAAUUCAUGGAAAGUCAUAAGCUAAGACUUGUAAAGAAUGAACUCAAGAAUGGUCAUGUGCUAUGUGGAAGCUUUUAACGUGCACAUAUGUUAAAGUAUAAGUAUAUUGGUAUGUUUGAGUGGGUUUGAAACCAGGAAUGCAAAGCUCAACCUUGGUAUGGCCAGGGAACAGCGCAGCUGCGUCGUUCUGCAGUCUUGAAUAGUUUCUAUUUUUGAUUUGAUGUUUGAAACAUGCUUAUAUGAUUACUUUAACUUGUAAUAUAUGACCAACAUGCUAUAUAAUGUAUUAAGAAGCAUGCUGUGUGAUAGAGAUGAAUGUAGAUCAUGACUUUCAAAUGUUAAGUUCAAAGAAAUGUUUACAAGAUAUAAAGAAAUGAUACGUUGUUUGCAUUUGUGAUGUUUUACAAUCUGAUUUGUGCUAUGAAAAUAUAGGAUAAGUGAUGUGUAUGAAGUUACAACCAAGUUAGACGUUUAUAUGUACAUUGAACUUACCUAUAUGAGUUUAUAUAACUAAUGGGCAUUCUAUACAUAUAAUACACUGUAAUAGGAUUCAAAAGUAUUGGUUAAAUUAUGGGGAUAGACUACGCUUAUGGCAAGUAUCCGAACCGUACUUUUGUUGUGCAAGUUUCUUAACUUACACAACUUUGGAUUUUGUGCAAGUUCUUAAAUUUCAUGUGAUUCAUAUAUUGAAUGAAAGUAUCCUAAACCCUUGUAUUACUUUAUUUAGCGGAUAACGUAAGCAAACCUUAUCUCUUUAAAUGCAAGUUAUCUUACUUUCUUGUUCAAUUAAUCUAGUAUGUUGAACUCUUGAGAAAACUAUUAUUCAUGUUGAACUUGGUAUUCUUGAAUAUUGUGAAAGUGUCUAUGCCAUUUGAUUUGACUAGACUAUAUGCAUGUUAAUAAAACUAUCUAAACCAAUUGACUAGUGCGGAAAUCUUGAAAAUUGAGUUGAACAACCCUUUAUGGUAAGGGGAGUGUUUAUUGUUGGAAGCCCCAACACACGUGUGAAUAUUACUUAGUUAUGCAUAACUUAGAGUAUUGUAGACUGAUCAUCUAUCGUACUUGAAUCUUUUGGGUUAUUAGUUUAAUAUUGGUAAUUCUAGUAGAUGUUUAAUAGUCCUUAGUGACUGCCCAUUAUAAAUUAUUUAUCUAGUUGGAUACAUUAAUAGUUUUUGAAUUCAUAUAUAUCUGUUGAUUUAUAUUGAAUUAUCAUUCUUAUUCCAAGAAUUGUUGAUACUCAUUAUUCAUGAUAUUAUUUUGAAACCCUGAACUAUCUUAGAGAUGAUAUUUUGAUAUUUCAAACUCAUGUCGUAGAACUCUUAACCCUGGUUGUAUACUACAUGUUGGGCAAUUUGUGCUCAUUCUUGCUUAUUUAAAAAUCUUUCAGUUAAGGCGGAACAGGGAAGUGUCUCCGGGAAAGACAAGGGCAAGGGCAAGGCUACCGACUAGCUUGUUCCUUUAUGUUUAAAACUAUUAUGUUGUAUUAAGACUAUGUUUAAGCUUAAGUAGGAUUAUGUAAUAAGUCUUUAUUCAAUAUUAUUAUGUAAUCUAUUAAGUACUGUAGGUUGCGAGACUUGGGGAAUAAUUAUAAUAAAUCAUUGUACAUUAUUCUAAAUUGUAUUUUUGAUGUGAAUAUGUAAUUCUAGUUAUUAUGGUAUUACUAUGAGUACGUGAUGAACCGAAUUUGAGUGACCAAGUGGCGGUCCAAAUUUGGGGGCGUCACAACUCCACUGUGCUGGGAUGAAGUGGGUGAACGUCAAUGGUUAGCACCGAAACUAGUACAGCAGACCACUGAAGUUAUCAAACUCAUCAGAGCAAGACUGGAACCUACUCAAGACAGACAGAAGAAGUAUGUUGAUCAACACAGAUAAGAUCGCGAAUUCGAUGUAGAAAAUUGUGUUUUCCUAAAAGUUUCUCCUUGAAAGGGAAAGAUUUGCUUCGGUAAGAAAGGAAAGCUAAGCCCAAUGUUUAUUGGACCCUUCGAGGUACUGCGAAGAGUGGGAGAAGUGGCUUAUGAGGUAGCUCUACCUCCAGGAUUAGAAUAUGUUCAAAACAUUUUUCAUGUGUCGGUACUGCGACCGUAUAAACCCGAUUACAAACAUGUGAUCGAGUAUGAACCGUUAAAGUUUAAUAAAGAUUUAUCUUAUGAGGAGGUUCCUAUCCAGAUAGUUGUCAGGAAAGAACAAGUGCUCAGAAAUAAGGUGAUACCUACUAUGGAGGUGAUAUGGAGGAACCACAAUGUCGAAGAGGCUACGUGGGAACUCGAAGAAGAAAUGAUGAAUAAUUACCCUGAGUUAUUUGUUUAAUCUAUGUCUUCGAUUCUGGGGACAGAAUCCUUGUAAGAAGGGAAGGAUGUAACAAUUCAGAAUUUUAUUUGUAAUUUCAAAUAUUUAUGGAAUUAUAUAAAUAUUUUUAAUUGAUGAGUUUGUUGUAAAGUAAAUAUUUGUUAGAUUAUUUGUUAGUUAAAUAAAGAAUUCAUGAAUUGUAGGAAUUAAAUUAAUUAAGGUAAUAUGUUAAUUAAGUUGAUAUUUGGUAUUUUGAAAUUAAUGAAAACAAAGUGGUGAUGAAUCCUAUUUUAUGAGAUAAUAUUCUAAUUUAAUUUAUUAAUUAAAUUAGAGAGUUGAUAAGGAUUACAUGAGUUGUUGUGAUGUUGUUUUAAUUUGAUUUAGUAAUUAAAGUGAUGUGUUAAUUUAUUAAAUAAAAUUAUAAUUUUGUUGUAUUGGAUUAUGUGGCAAAUUGAUUUAAUAAGUUGUUUUCUUUAUUAUUAAAUGUGAAUAUGGGAAUUUAAUUAAAUAAAGAGUGAUAAUAAACUAUAUUAUAAAGGAAUUACUAAAAUGAUUUAAAAGAGUUUAAUUCAGUUUUGCCAAAUAAGGCUUCAUGAAUGUUAAGUCUUUAAUUUAAAUGGGUUUUACCAAACAAGCCAUAAGGAUUUUAAGUUAUUAUUUUUAAUUUAGUUUUGCCAAUCAAGGUAAAGGUUUUGAGUCUUUAAUUUUAAAGUGGUUUUAAGCAAACAAGCCUUAUGGCUUUUGAUUUUCAAAAAUUAUAACUGACAUCAAUUAUGUUAUAUAUUUAUAUUAUAUAUUAAUACGUAAUAUAUGUUAUACGUUAUAUUAUAAUAUAUCAGUUUUAUAUUUCGUAAAACUAAAAGAAAGAACAGAGAAGAGAAAGAAGAGAGAAAAGAGAGGGAAGAAGAGAGAAUUUGAGUUUAAGAAUUUAGAAGGAGUAAGAUUAUUGAGCCUUCCAUAUCUUCUAGCAAAGGUAUAAUCCUAUUUUUAAAAUUUCUUGUUUUUUUAUAUAUACAUGAAGAAUUCUCUGUAAAAAAUUAGUGUGAAGGAUUAAUUAUUUAUUAUGAAGUUUUUAUAUGUAAUUUGUUGAUAUAAAUUGUUUUCAUGGACUUGUUGAUGAUUUUGAGUUGUUUAAUUCAUGUAAAUAUGAUAUAUAUGGAGAAAAUCAUAUUACAGUGAAAUAUAUAUGAAUAUGGCUUAUUUUGGAAUCAAAAUUUAUGUUCAAAUCAUGUGUUAAACUGUAAAUUAUUUGUUAAUUGUGAAAAUAUAUGAAGAAACGAAAACAUUAUGAGUUAAAUUAGUUAUUUUGGUUGAGAAACAAAUUCAUAGUGCUAAAAUUCGCUAUGAAUAUCAAAAGAAGGAGAAAUAAUAAAAUAAUGGAACUAAAGGUUGUAAUUUUGAUGAUUAGGUUGUUUACAUAGUAUAAAAUAUGCUAGAAAUCUGGAAUUAUGGUUCUCUGAAGUUUAUGUAUUUGAUAUGUGUGAAAAUCUGGUUGUUAAAAAGUAACUUGUAGGCCAAAUUGGCUUUCUGUUAUGUGUAUCGCAAACUGUAGAAACCAGAAUUUUGCAUCAGCGCGGUCGCGCUGAUGCUAAAGCAUUAGUUGGCGCGGUCGCGCCAACCCUGACAGAAACUGUUUUGGAUUUGUUUUUAAGUUCAGUCCAUGGCGUGCAAGUGUAACUUAGUCUUAUGAGGAUAAAAAGGAAGUUAAUCAUAUGAUAUGAUAUAGUAAGCUUGUAAAUACAUUUUAAUACCAAGUUUGGAGAUUUUUUUUAAGUUAUUAGUUAACAAGUAAUAACGAUUGAAACUCAAUGUUUGUAAGAGUUAGAGAUGUGAAUUGAAUGCUAUAACUUUACGUUAUAUGUUAGGGAGUUUUCAAAAUUUAUGUAUGUGAUUGUGUUAUGUGAUUGAUCAUUAUGAUUAGACCUUAAGGAUAUAACUUAAUUAAGAUGGCGAGUAGAAAUUUUAAAGUUGAUAUUAGUAGAACUAAUAGAUGUUGUAAUACAUAUGAUAUGUGUUGGUGAUCGUGAGUUGUAAUUUAAUAGCUUACGCACGAGGCAAGUUCUCUAACCUUAAACUUCAUCUGAGCAAAUUUCUGAAUUCUAAGCAUUGUUUGAGUUAACCUAACUUGUUUAUAAUUAAGAAAGUUGUCCUAGUCAUAUUUUUCUUAUAAGGAAUGCAAGUACCUGAACUCUAAUCUCUAAAUGAGUUGUCCUAUUUCAUGUACUUUAAGAAAGUUGUAAUCUUUAUUGUCAUAUUGAACAAGUUUUUGUUUUCAACUUGUUAUUCAUAUUGCAUGUUCAAUAAUUCAAUUCUCUUAUUUGACAAGAUUAUAACCUUAGCUUAAUAUUGUUCAAGCAAGGUUUAUUGUAUUACACAAUGCUUAUACUUUCUAGUUUAUUUCUAAGCCUGACUUUGAUAUAUAGUUGGUUCACCUAUGAUUCUUAAUUGUCCCUAUUAUGUUGUUAUCGAUCUUUCGAAAUGAUAUUGAACUUUGUUGAUUCAACUAAUCCUUUAGUUGAUGAUCAUUAAACUCUAAAUUACCCUUGAAUAUCCAAACCAAAAUUUCUUUGGUGCAGACUUGUACUCUAAAACUGAGAAGAACAACCCUAUUAUAGGGGAAUUAUUUACGCGAGACGUUUAGAUGUUUGUGCACAAAACAUGGUACGAAGGGCUGAUCACCCUUAGCACGGGGAGUCCCUACAGUAUGACUGUUUAGGUUAAAGUUGAAAGAUUACUUGUAACCUUGUACAUAGUUCGUGGUCUUAUGACCCUCAGAUAUAUUUUACACUUUGAUUUCAGUUCUUAAUUAUCAUUGAUAAAGUAUUAUUCAAUUAUGUUAAGCAUAUUCAUUGGCAAUUACAGUAAAACCCUAUUUAGGAAUACUCUAUACAAGAAUAACCUCUACAAUAUUAUAAAAAAAUUUGGACCCAAUUUAGGCCAGUUAUAAAUAGGAAUAACCUCUAAAUUGUAAUAUGUUACAUACUUUUUAAGUCCCAUAUUAAGAAACUAUACCUCUAUAUAAUAAUAAUUAUAUAUAUAUAUAUAUGAGAGAGACAAUAUUAAUUUUAAAAGACUACAUUUUCUAUAAAAGACUACAUUUCAUAUAAAUGACUACAUUUUCCUAUAAAAAGACUACAUUUCCUAUAAAGGACUACAUUUUUCUAUAAAAGACUACAUUUCCUAUAAAAGACUAUAUUUCUUAUAAAAUACCACAUUUUCCUAUAAAGGAAUAUAUUUCCUAUAAAAGACUACAUUUUCUUAGUUUGAAAAUGUAAAUAAUUUAUGUUUUCUUUAAUUUUUGUUAUAAAAUCUAUAAAAUCUAUAUUUUUGUUAAAGUGGAUAUUUUUGGGUGUUCGGAAAAUAUUUUGUACCAAUACCUCUAUUUACUAAUAACCUCUCAAUUAGAAUACAAAUAGUUUGGUACCAAAUCUAUUCCUAAAUAGAGGUUUUACUGAAUUAUGAUGUUGAAAUUCAUUGCUAUUUCUAGUGAGCAUUUGUUUUGCUCACUCUUGUAUAAAUAUAAUCAUUACAGGUAAGGUUGAGAAGGUCGAUGAACCUACCACUAGCAAAGGAAAAGGAAAAAUGAGCAAGUGAUGAAGACUUGUAAUUUAUUUAAUUUCAUGAUGAUAUACUUUAUUUUUAAAGGAUGUGAUGUAAUUAUUUUAUUUCCGCAUUAAUUUAUGUUAAAGGUUAGAUAACCUGGGAGACUUAUUUAUUUAAUGAUGUAACCAUUUCAAUGGGAGGAUUUAUGGUUUAAAUUCUGCUACAUUUGGGUAGUUAGAUGUGAAUAUAUGAAAAGUGAACACCAAGUCUUGUGGGAAUGAAGUACCUAGAUUUGGGGGUGUCACAAAACUGUUUAAUCAUACAAAGUGUUAGAAUGAAAUAAAAAAACAACUGCUAAUACUGUGCAGCAAAAGUAAGCAGUUAUUUCUAUCUAUAGGGCAAAGGGAGUUUCUGCCCUUUUUACCCUUGUUGGCAAAUGCAAGGAGUGCUGCUCCAAUUUCCAAGGGUCAAGUCCUGGUGGAUAGCUGUGAUGAACAGGUUGUCGUCGUCCUCCUUCUCUUGAAUGAUGACCAUGAUGUCUGCACAAUCAUCAUCUAGUAUACCUUUGUUCAUACCCUCCGUAUGGACAAGGACUCACAUGUUUGCCAAAUGUCUCUUUAUUUCUUGUUUGCGCCUUUGAUUCCUUUCCUCCACCUCUAGGUUUGGAAUCAGGACUUCUUUUCCUUUAACCGAUAUCAGCUUAGGAAACAACAUAGCUACCACAGGGGCAAGAACUUUCCAUAUAUGUUGUACAAGAUUAUCACCUGUAGGUUUAGACAACCGCCUUGUAGAUGAAGGAACCGAUUUAUGCUUAUAAAGGUUGCUGUGACUAGACCCAAAAGAGUAGCCUAAUUCGAUUGUCUCUGUCUGGCUGGGAACUUGAAUUGGGCAUUUGAUUCCCUGGUGAUCCUUUCCCAACCCUUGUCCAGGUUGAAAACCCAAGGAUAUCAUCUCUUGACUUGCCGACAUUACCUCGGCAGAAACUCUGGGUUUCAGAAGUGGCUCCCCAAUGGGUUGAUAGUGAGUGUUGGCCACCUCAAGGGUCUGGAGGCUGACAGGCUCAACUUCUUCAUUGAAACUGAUGAGUGGUAUAUCACUUUGAAUAGGACAUUCUGGCUCAGCAUUGACAAUGACCAGACUAGUGUUGAUGAUAUACUUGAGUUACUGAUGAAGAGUGGAUGGGACGGCUCCCGCCAUAUUAAUCCAAGGUCUUCCCAACAGUAAGUUAUAUCCUGUAGUGAUCUUAAGCACUUGGAAGGAAUAAAAGUUAUAUAAGUAUUUAUAUAUACAUAAGCAGUAAAUGCACUAGAUGUAUAUCCAGGCUCAAUCAAGCCGAGUUUGAUAGAAAGAUGUAUAUCAAUAAGUAUUUAUAUAUAUACAAAAGAAAUAAACACUCUGGAUGUAUAUCCAGGCUUAAUCAAAUAGAGUUUGAUGACAAGAGAUACAUACAUGUAUAUAUAUAUAUAUAUAAGUAUUUAUAUAUAAAAAAGUAGUAAAUGCACCGAAUAUUAUAUUCAGGCUCAAUCAAAUAGAGUUUGAUGACAAGAUAUAUAUAUAUAUAUAUAGAGAGAGAGAGAGAGAGAGAGUCCGGAUCUUAAGCUCACCCCUUAUCCAACUCACCCGAACUCACUCCCCUUUAGCGACGGACCCGGUGACGGUUUGGUCAUAUAACCGUCAUCUAUACUUUUAGUGACGGACAACAUAUAUCGUCGCUAAAAGUAUAAACGAUGGUUGUAUGACCAAACCGUCGCCGGGUCCGUCGCUAAAGGGGAGGUGAGCUCGGGUGAGUUGGAUAAGGGGUGAGCUUAAGAUUCGGACCGUAUAUAUAUAUAUAUAUAUAUAUAUAUAAGUAUUUAUAUAUAUAAGAGCAGUAAAUGCAUAUAUAUAUAUAUAUAUAUAUAUGUAAGUAUUUUUAUAUAUAUAAAAGCAAUAAAAAGCCAUGGAUCGACGAUCCGGGCAUACACACACGAUGCGACUCUCAACGUGAGUAGAUAUAUAUAUAUACAGAAGUAAUAAAGAGCUUUAAAAUCUAAAAUAUCAUAUAGUGGGCUGCCAAGAAGACUUAAGAUAGCUUUUGACGCGUGAAAACUCGGUUUCCACCGGUUAAAUUUUUGUAUGUAGCAAAACACGAGCUUACAAGUGUUUAGAAAGAUGAAUCACUUUUAGAGCACUCUAGAUGUGUUUAUGAACUGAAAUGGAUAAAGUUUUGUCGCUAUUUCUUUUCUUCUUAAAAUGGCCAACCCAAGGACUUUAUUUAUAGAAUAGAUGGUCGUGAGUCUACCCGCGGCAUCCGCGAGUCUACCAGCGAUUGCCCGGGUUGCAUCGGACCAUGCGGGUUCCAUCGUCUCGAAGUAUGUGCACUCGUGCAACGUGUUGUCUGCUCGAACCUUCAAAACUUUUAAUCCGGGCAUCUGAUUGAGGUGUGAUAUACCUUUCUGGAAUGCAAUUGUCGAGAGCUACACAAUGACAUGGGAUAAGUGGUUGUACGAAGCCAGGAAGAUGGGUCCAUGACUAGAUCUUCAAGUAUUCAAAUUCUAUCCAGUGAACUAUCUUAUGUAGUAGUCACUCGGGCUUUUGAGUUAUGGUUCUUGUGGGACACUUCGUAUGAAAUGUGGGUUGAAAUGAUGUUGAGAUGACGUAAAUGUAGUAUCGAGGUGACAAAACUAUGAUUUUGCCCUUCACCAGGGUUUUCUCUGGCUUUGCAUAGAUGUAACAGUCAUUGCUCAAGGUUAUCUCUUAGAUUGGGCUACUGUAGGUGCUGAAUGUCCUCGGGGUUGUUUCUGAGGUGUGUCGGAUCUCCUGGGGUUAUAUUUGGGGUUAGAACUGAGUGCCUCGGGGUUGUCUCUGAGGUUGGAACUGACUUCUCUGGUGUUAUCUCCGGCAUUGGAACUGCAUCCCUCGGGGUUAUCUCUGAGGUUGGAACUAACUCUCCCGGGGUUCGGGAUUGGAACUGAAUAUCUCGAGGUUAUCAUCGAGGUUGAAAAUUGAGUAUCCAGGGGUUAUCUCCGGGAUUGAGCUAAUUUGACUUCCAGUGUUAUCUCUGGAAGACGAUUUUGCCCUCCUGCAAGGUUAGUAACAGGAAUGCAAAAUUUUGAGUGUCUACACAAAUUUUCUGACAAGGUUUGACCAACCCAGAUCUUAAAUAUGUGAUGUAGUUAAGCUACCUAAGUGUAGUACUUUUGAUCUUUAACAUGUUAUCUAAGGUGUUAGACACCCUCCGACUUCCGUGAUAACACAGUUACCACCACUUUUCAUUAACUUUUAUCUAUUUAUGUGUGUGUAUUAGGUAUAUGUGUAGUUGUUUGGAAGUAGUGAUAUGCCUCGUUCGCACCUAUAUAUAAAAGGGUUUGACUUCCGUAUAAAAGUUUAAUUUUAACAAGAUAUAGUAGUGAUGUUUUUUAAAAUAGGUUUUUCAAACCCUUAUGCUCAAUAGUAAUUGAGGCCUUUGAUACUUCCAAUUUAUUACAUGUUCGGCUUGAUUGCUUUUAUUUUUGAGAUGCGAGGAAUCUUUGAGAUAAUAAGAUACAUAGCAGUGUUGAACUCCUUGUGGGCAUGAGAGCCAUCUAUUGAAAUUCAGACGCCGUGAAUAAUUUACAAGCUGGCUGUAGCUAAAAAUGUCCAUCACGAGAACCGAAUCUAGAUUCAAAGACUGAAUCUGUGAUCACAUGAUUUCUAGGCUCACAUGUGAAAGGAAUAUGUGCAAACACUAGAAGAUGGUCUAGAUUUGAAUAAAUCUAAGCAUUCCAUCUUCAACAGUUCUAGUUUAGUCACCAUGAACCAGUUAAAGUGUGAAAUAGCCAGAUUUAGGUAAAUCUGGCCCACAGGUUAAUAAAAGCUAAAAAAAGAACCGCAGAGCCGGAGAUAACCCCUACGAGGUGCAAAAUCAUCAUUUUGCCACCUCGAUACUACAUUCACGUCGUCUCAACAUCAUUUCAACCCACAUUUCAUACGAAGUGUCCCACAAGAACCAUAGCUCAAAAUCCCGAGUGACUACUACACAAGACAACACGGCAGAUAUAAUUUGAAGACUUGAAGAUAUGGUCAUGGACCCAUAUUCCCAGCUUUGUAUUAUAGCGAAUUGGAUUGCCUGCGUCCAAGAGCCUACUCAUCUGACACAGAUUGAUGGUUUAACCUAACCGUGGGACCAGGCUCAUUUUUUCAUUCGACAUUUGGGUAGAGAUCCUUUCGAGGUGGAUACUUUUGAUCCUUCCAUCUCUGAGACUAGCCCCUCAGGUGGCCCAUAUUCAGAUGGUUUUAUCAGUACAGAUCCUCCAUUGUAUCAGCUUGAUAUCCCUACUGGUGGAGAUACCGUGACUCAGGAGGAGUUACAUCAGAUGGAUAGGUUAGAUGAUGUAGACAUCAACACUAUUGACUUCUUCUGAUGUAUUUCUCGCUAUAUCUUUUGAUAGGCCUCUGUUAGAUAUUGGGCGGCUGUGCCCCAUUCUCGUUAUAUCUUUUUAUACGCCUCUAUUAGUUAUUGGGCGGCUGUGUCCUAUUUUAUUGUAUUUAUCCAGCUGUAUACAGAGAUGAUGUAUUAGAUGAUGAUGUACUUAGGAAUGUAUAUAACCUCGGAGACAACCACAAGAUAGUCAGUUCCAACCCCAGAUAACUUUGGGAGGUCAAGCACACCUCAGAGACAUCCCUGAGGACAUUCAACAUGCACAACAGCCUAAUCUCAGAGAUAACCCUAAGCAAUGACUGUUACAUCUGCGCAGAGCCGAAGAUAACCCCGACGAGGGGCAAAAUUGUCAUUUUGCCAGCUCGGUACUACAUUCACAUCGCCUCAACAUUAUUUUAACCCACAUUUCAUAUGAAGUUUCCCACAAGAACCAUAAUUCAAAAUCCUGAGUGACUACUAAAUAAGACAACACACCGAAUAGAAUUUGAUAACUUGAAGAUCUGGUCAUGGACCCAUCUUCCCGGCUUUGUACAACAUGUCUCUAUCGGAUGCCCAGAUUGAAAGUUAUGAAGGUUUGAGUGGACAUCGCAUUGCACGAGUACACGUACUUCGAGACGAUGGAACCCGCAUGGCCCGGGAUAACUGGGCAACCACUGGUAGACUCGCAACUUCCAUGGGUAUACCUGCGGCCAUCGGGACUAUAAAUAAAGGACUUUGGUAGGCCAUUUAAAAAAAAUAGAAAAAAGAGAGAAAACUCUGUCUAUUUCAGCCCAUAAACACAUCUAGAGUGCUCUAAGCUGAGUGAUUCUUCUUUCUAAACACUUGUAAGCUCGUGUUUUGCUAUAUACUAAAAUUUAACCUAUGGAAACUGAGUUUUCAGGCGUCUAAAGCUAUCUGAAGUCUUCUUGGCAGCCCACUGUAAGAUAUUUCAGAUUUUAAAGCUUUUUAUCACUUCUGUAUAUAUAUAUAUAUAUAUAUAUAGUCAUCAAGCUCUAUUUGAUUGAGCCUGAAUAUAAUAUCUGAAGCAUUUACUGCUUUUGUAUAUAUAUAAAUACUUAUGUAUAUACAUCUUUUUAUCAAAAUCUGUUUAAUUGAGUCUGUAUAUAUAUUCGGUGCGUUUANNNNNNNNNNNNNNNNNNNNNNNNNNNNNNNNNNNNNNNNNNNNNNNNNNNNNNNNNNNNNNNNNNNNNNNNNNNNNNNNNNNNNNNNNNNNNNNNNNNNUAUAUAUAUAUAUAUAUAUAUAUAUAUAUAUUAUCAAACUUUGCUUCGAUUGAGCCUGAAUAUAAUAUUCGGAGUGUUUACUGCUCAGAUUACAAGAGAUGGAUGGUGAGGAAUUUCCCCAACUCAUCAACUCGAACACUGUGAAACUGUACUAUAUCUGAAGUUACUUGCAAACCAGCAUCCUGGUUUUGGAUCAUCAGAUCCAUCAGUCAAUUCAGGUAUUCAAAACCUUUCACACCUUCAGUUUGUCACACUCGGGAUAAAAACUUUCAUACCUUCAGUUUAUCCCACUUGGGAUAAACAUUUCCACAUCUUCAGUUUGUCCCACUCUAGAUAAACCUUUCACACCUUCAGUUUGUCCCACUCGGGAUAAACAUUUUCACACCUUCAGUUUGUCCCACUUGGGAUAAACAUUUCACACUUUUAGUUUGUCCCACUAGGGAUAAUCAUUUCACACCUUCAGUUUGUUCCGCUAGGGAUAAACAUUUCACAACUUUAGUUUGUCCCACUAGGGAUAAAAUGUAUCACAUUUUCAGUCUGUCCCAUCAGGGGUGAACUACGCAGACCUGAUCUCCCCAAUACAUGGGAGUACGUAGGCAGCCAUUUUUAUGGUCCGGUCUAACCACAGAAAAAAACAUUUGUACACCUUCUUUACCACCUACAACUUUUAACCUUUUCACACUAGGUUGGAACCUUUUUGACGUCGGGAUUUUUAUUUAUCCAUUUAUGUUCUUGUUCUUUUGUGUUCUCAUGUUAGGUGAGAUUUGUUUGAAAAAACAAGUUUGAAAAGGUCCGACAUAUAUAUGUCUACGAUUUAACUGUAGGAGUCACCAGUUGAUUAUUUUUAAAUGGUUGCACCAACUCAACCGAGAAGAGGUUUACACAAAGACCUAGUGAUGUAACACUGUUUAACUGGUCUACAAAUUUAAAAUUCGUUAGGGUUCGGGGGAUUGAUUAAGCGAAGGGAAGGUGUUAGGCACCCCCCGACUUUCGUGAUAACACGGUUACCGCCACUUUUCAUUAACUUUUAUCUGUUUAUGUCUGUGUGUUAGGUCUAUGUGUAGUUAUUUAGAAGUAGUGUUAUGCCUCGUUCACACCUAUAUACAAAAGGAUUUGACUUCUGUAUAAAAGUUCAAUUUUAACAAGAUAUAACAGUUGUGAUGCCCCCAAAUUCGGGUAUCUUCCAACCCGACAUAUGGUGCUACACGGUACUCAUAACUAUACAAUCAUUCCAUUGAAAACACAAUAUAAUGAAUGUAAUUACUAUCUUCUUAUUACAAUCAAAGUGAAAUCCUUUCCCAGGUUCAUAAACCGAUUACAUCAUUCUUUAUUCUUAAGCAUAAUACAUACAAUCAUAUUAAUCUAUUACAAGAUGGUUAACUAUCCAUCUUAGCCUUACCCUUAUUUCUCUUAGCAUUCUCAGUAUACUCGGCUUUAACUGCAAUCAUAUAAUUCAAGUAAGAAGUGAGCAUAACAAGCUCAGCAAAUUUAACAAAGAAUAGCAUUAAUACCACAUUUGUGAAUUAUACGAUAAAUUUUCCAUAACUGAACAAAUAGUUAUGAAGUAUCAUGAAAUAGUAAUACUUUAACAAAUCAUGACAUCAAUUCCCAAAGUAUAGAAUUGAUUAGGAAUUCUGAACCGGUCGACAGACCAUGAACAGUAACUUUCUGUUUUUAUACUUGAAAAGGACAUCAUAGCACUAAGGCUGUACAUCUGGCAUUACUUACGAGCACUUCUAGGAGAUCAGCCUAUAGUACUCUAUGUUGAUCAACAUUCAUCCGUUAAACGUAUUUACAUUUAAGUUUUGGCAAACUCGCGUGCCCAUCGAAUAAUCGAUGAAAAAUACUUUUGUUUGUUCAUAAACAAACCUUACCUUCAAAUCCGUACCAAUUUCUUAGCAUAGGAUAACGUUAACAUUUCUAUACAGAAAGAUAUGAAGACAAAUCAAUCUAUAUCUUACGAAUAGUUUAGCCAAGUUAAAACUGGCAUUGACCCUUUCUUUAAAAUCAAUCAUGCAAUUCAGUAACAUGAAUCACAUAAAACUUGACUAACUUGAAAAUUAGACAAGCGUUAAGAAAACUUGCCUUUCAGCAUCUUCACAGCCUUUAUAGAAUCUACAUAAUAUAUUCACAUAGCACACUGUAAUUAGCUACCAAACAAUUACUCACAUUGUUUUUACCAACUUCUUUCUCUUCUAUGUCUUAGUUAACUUUAUUUCAUUUAAUAAAGUCAAUUAGACUCAUUACCCUUCAUCCCGGCUUUUUAGCAAUCUUACGUUAUUAUCCGGACUCUAUCAUCAUUGGUGAAGUACCAAUGUUGUUUACCGAUUAUGGUUCAUUAAUAACACUUUGUGUUCUUCGUUCAUAAGUUAAUAACAUGCGUUCAAUUCCUAAGUUCAUUACCAUAUACAUUAGUAUAUGUAAUAUAGGAAUAGUCUUAGUACAUUCAUUGAGUAUAUAAACUAAACUCAUGUAGGUCUCAGAACAACUGAAGUUCAAAAUCUAGCUUUUAUAACAAAACCCUACUUCGGCGCCGUGGCGUGACACUUAAGCCUAACAUUGGCGCUGCGACGCCAGUUUGCAGUGACUGAACCCCGGUGUCGGCGCUGCGACGCCACUCUCCAGUAGGUAUUGACACUGUACCGACACUACGACGCAGCACUUUAAACUUUGUCUGGCGCCGCGGCGCUAGACCUCAGCACCAGAAAAGUUUGAAAAAUAAAAAUUUUGGUAAGUUUCCCAGAUUCAUAACUUCUUUAUUAUAAGUCCGAUUUGGUCCGUUCAAAAGCCUACACGUCAUAAAUUACAUACUCUACGUGUUCAUAUAAGAAUUCUACACUUUCGAAUCCAUUAACUCAAAAUUCACUGUCAAGUUCAUUUUAAGCGUUCGUUAAACGCUAAUGAGCGUUCAAUACUCGUUUUCUUCGUUUUAAGUCAGAAUCCGAUGAUUCUUGAGUACGCGACUCUCAAAUAUCCUAUCUCAUGUGUUGACAUUGAAAAACAACGUUUUCAAGUCUCAAGGCAACUUUUGACUACCAAUCCAAAAUUUCUACGUUUUCGACGAUUAACGUCUAAUUCCGUAAAAUUCGCCAUAACUUCGUUACUAGUGUUCUAUAAGUAAAAUCACACAGAAUACUCCAUUGAUUUCAUAUCUACAUCCUAACCAAGCAAGAUGCAAUAUAUUCUAAUAGUGAUGGUUUUCAAUUUGUCCAUCAACAACAAUGUUCCUUAAUCAAUAAUUUCUACGGUUUAUACUUACGUAAACCCUUACGAUUCUUACUUGUGAAUGACUUAUAAAUGUUUUAUAUAUCACAAGCCAUCCUUAUUCAUACAUAGGAGACAUGCUCCACCAAUUUAUGAUUCUUCAUAAUAAAGAAAUUAAAAGGGAUGGAAAACCAAUAUUAAUGGAAUAUUACCUUUCCAAACUAUACGUUCUUGCUAAACUUCUAAAGAAAAAGCUUCAAGGUAGGAGAAUGGUUUAAGUCUAGCUAUUUUUCUCUCUCAAAAUAUGUUGGAUGAGUCUUGGAAAAACCUGAAAUGGCCAACAUAUACUUCUUAUUUAUAGGAAAACAAGAGGGAGGGCUUUAUGGUCAAUUGUCCCACCUCCUUACUAUUCACUACUUCAUCACCAAGUAAAAUACUUGGUGAUCAAGUAGUUUACCUAGGUUACACACCAAGUGGCCGGCCCACCAUGCCCAUGGGUCAUCCCCAUGGGUUUUACCCAUUCGGUGACCCACCGGUUCGACCCACGGUCCGGUUUCUUGGAUCGGGCUUAAUUAAUUCUAUCAUUGGGCUUUAACUUGGGUCUAAACACUUAAUUCAUUGGGCUUGAUUACACAAUCAUCUAGGCUUGAUAUAAACCAAAUCCAAUUGGAUUAUACUAAGUCCUUAUACUAUAAAUCCAAUAAUACCCAACGUAUUCCCCACGUAUAAUUUACGUAUUCUCUUCACAUAAUACUCAUACGAUAUUCAUAUUGUACUUCGUAUUAAAUUUUCGUAUUAUACUCGUAUAAUAUACGCAUAAUCAUUAUCGUAAUUCAUUAUACGCCUCACAUUUCCUUCUCAGAAAUCAUUCUUCUUAACCCUUAGGUUUUUAAGUCUGCAGGCAAAAACUUCGUUUGUCAUAAAUGAAAUAUUAUUAGAUAUUCUAUCUCGUCUUAAUAUUCUAUCAUUAUGCAUUUUCUCGGAAUUUCGAACUUAAUCCCCUAGCAGAAACUGAUGAAUAGUGUUUUUACGAAAAUUUCUCGAAAAACAUUUAUUUUCAUCUUGGAAAUUCCAAACAAUUAAUUCUAGUACAUAGCCAGAUUACUAACCACAUUCGCACAUUCUAGGUUAUAGAACGACCUUCACAUAGCUUACUCACAUAAAUAAUCAAUUAAAUUCAUUUAAUUGACAUAAUCAAAUAAAAAUUAAAUUCUCAUAUAAAUCCGAUUUUUCUCGGGCGUUACAUUCUCCCCCCCUUAUAAGGAUUCUGUCCCCAGAAUCUCGCUUAUAAUUACAUAAACAAAUGAGAAAAAUUUUCAUUUUACUUUCGAGUUCCCACGUUGCUUCUUCAGCAUUGUGGUUUCUCCAUAACACAUUCACUGAAGGUAAUUGAGGCCUUUGAUACUUCCAUUUUAUCAUGUUUGGCUUGAUUGCUUUUAUUUUUGAGAUGUGAGGCAUCUUCGAGAAAAUAAGAUACAUAGCAGUGCCGAACUCCUUGUGUGCAUGAGAGCCAUCUAAGGAAAUUCAUACUCCGUGAAUAGAUUAAAAGCUACCUGUAGCUGAAAAUGUCCAUCAAAGGAACCGAAUCUAGAUUCAAAGACUGAAUCUGUGAUCACAUGAUUCCUAGGCUCACAUAUGAAAGCAAAUAUGUGCAAAAGCUAGAAGACCGUCUAGAUUUGAAUAAAUUUAAGCAUUCCAUCUUCAACGGUUCCAGUUUAGUCACCCUGAACCGGUCAAAUUGAGAAAUAGCCAAAUUUAGGCAAAUCUAACCCACAUGUUAAUAAAAGCUAGAAAAAGAACUAGAUUUGAGUAAAUAUAAACCAUUCCAGCUUUAACGGUUCCAGUUUAGUCACCAUGAACCGGUUAAAGUGAGAAAUAGUCAGAUUUAAGAAAAUCUAGCCUACAGAAUAAAUAACAAUUAUAUAUAUAGGAAAAUGAUCCAUAGCAAAUAUUUUCUAUGGAUCAAAAUUGGGAAAAUAGCAUCAUAACUGCACAUUAUAUAAAUUAAGGGCUGAGAUUUAAAACUAAAACACGCCUUCUGCCAGACGAACUGGCGUAGCAUGAAAAAUCUAUAUGACCGUCCGCAAGACGGUCUAGUGGAUGGUAGAAAAAUAAUAUUCGGACUAAAUUAACCCCCAAGUAAUCCGACCAGCCUACAGGUCAUGGAAUACGCCAGGCAACAGUUACAGGCCAUGCAAUAGGAAUAUAUCAGUCAACAGUUCUAAUCUAAUAAGGCAAUAACAAAUAUAUGCCAGCCAAUAGUUGUAAUCUGAUAAGGCAAUUAGCCAUGCAAUCAAGUCUAAAUCACAAAAAGAAUCAAAUCCAAAUCAAAGAAGGAAAUAAAAUAUGAAAUAGCCUCCAUGCUAAAAAAAAAACUAACAUGAAAUUCCACAAGUAAAAAAUACAAACCUUAUAUUAUUAUCAUAUUUAUUCCUUAUAAUUUCUUUUAAAUAUCCCCCCAAAAAAAUAUUAAGGUAGAAAACUACGCAAUUAAUUAAGUAAGGCUUUGCAGGUCAAAAUCAUCCUGGUAAGUUUUCAAAUAUGGCUGAAGAUAUGUUUAAUUCAAGUUCUUCAAAUUCUUCUCAUGAUAAUAUUGACAUGGAUAAUAUUGGUGUUCAUAACACGAACCAAUCGCAUAUCAACGUUUCAAAAAGUCCAUAUGAGGGUCAGAUUUUUUCUACUAUCCAAGAGGCGAAAGAAUUUUAUAGAACAUAUGCACGUAGUUGUGGAUUUGAAAUUAAAAUUGGGGCAACUCAUAAAUAUGCUCACUCCAACAAUUUGUCAAACCGACUUUUUACAUGUAAGAAAGCUAGAAAACCAAUUGAAAGAAAUAAACAAGGCGUUGGUGAAGUUGAUGGUAGUAAGGUUAAAAGAAAAAGGGAUUCUAUAGGUCGGACGAUGUGCAAAGCUAGAAUGUUUGUUGUUCAUCUAAAGAAUGAAGAUACCUGGAAAGUUUCAAAAAUUGAGUUGUCUCACAAUCAUGAUUUGGUGACUCUGAGAAAGAAUAAUUUCAUUCAAACACAGAAAAAUAUAACUCAUGUUGCCCGAAGUUUAAUCGGAAUUUUCACAAGGACUGGAGUUGGGCCAAGUAAAAUGAUGAAUGUAUUUAGUGAAAUAGGAGGAGGGGUGAAAAAUAUCAGUUUAAGUGAUAAGGAUAUUCGUAAUGUUGUUCGAGAUAUAAGACGUGACACAAUUGAUUCAAACGAUGCCCAAGCAGCAUUGCAGUACUUGAAAAAACUCUCGGCAGAAAAUCCUCUAUUUUUUUACGAUAUCAAACGAGAUGAAGAUAAUCGCAUCGAAUGUAUCUUGUGGAUAGAUUAUUGAUCAAUGAUAGCUUACAAAAAUUUUGGGGAUGUAGUGACAUUUGAUGUAACUUAUCGAACGAAUAAGUAUUUUAUGCCGUUUAUUCCGUUCACGGGGGUUAAUCAUCAUUAUCAUUUCAUCUUGUUUGGUUUUGCAUUGAUUCAGGAAGAAACAGAGGAUACUUUUGUAUGGGUUUUUGAAAGUUGGCUUCAAGCGAUGAACAACAAGGCACCGGUUACCAUUAUCACUGAUCAUGACAAAGAUAUGAGCAAUGCGAUUGCUAAGGUUCUUCCAGAAACACACCAUGCUCUUUGCACAUGGCAUAUUAGCAACAAAUUUCCAAAGAAAUUACAUACAUUGUAUGAACAGUACCCAACAUUUAAACAUGAUUUUAAUUGCUGUGUGUAUAAAUCUUUGACCGUUGCGAAUUUUGAGGAGCGAUGGAAAAAGUUGAUGAUAGAUUACGAACUGCAUGACCAUGAUUGGCUCCAAUCACUUUAUGAGGUUAAGCACAAAUGGAUCAAGGCGUAUACAAAGAAUAUUUUUGCAGUAGGAAUGACAACUACAUCCAGGAGUGAUGGAAUGAACAGUUUGUUCGAUGAUAUGUGAAUGCGACAACGAGUAUCAAGGAAUUUAUCAUAAAUACAGAAAAGCACUUGAGAAGCAGGUCAUGAGAGAGAGAAGAGCUGACUACGUUACUUGUCAUCGGACCCGAAAUAUGACUCUUGAAUCACCAUUGGAAACACAUGGAGCAAAUAUUUAUACAAAGGAGAUGUUCAGACGCUUUCAGACUAAGAUAAUAAAAUCUCAUAAGUACGUAAUGCAGAAGCUUCAACAACUAACAACAUCGAAUAAAAAUUCGUAUGCAUUGUGCAAGGCAAGCGACAACGAAAAAUCAAUUAGGUACGUUACCGUUGUUACUAAUGUUCAAACUGGAGAUAUAAUUUUGAUUGUAAAAAAUUUGAACAUUCUGGUAUGCUUUGUAAACACAUUAUAAGGCAUAUGAUUGCCAAAAGUACAAAAAAGAUACUUGAUAAAUACGUUUUAAGGAAGUGGUGUAGAGAUGGUGAUAAAUUGAACGCUGAAUUACCAAAGAUUUUGACUGAAAUGUCCAACUAUGAGGAAUCUCAGACGAUACGUUACAAUUAUUUAAUGACGUUGCUCUUGCGAUUAGCUUCUACUGGAUCAUGCUCAAUUAAUGGUUUUAAGCAUGUUGUACAAUUGUGCAUUGACAAUCAACCCAUCGUUGAGAAAUUUGACCCUGAUGAAAUUUGUGUAAAAGAGGUUCCUGAUAUUCGAGAAGAUGAUGAUCAGCCCGUUGAAGAUGAGCUGUUAGUGGAUCCUAUUUGUUCGCAAACAAAGGGGCGAAAAAAAGCAACAAGAAUAAAGAGUCGGUUCGAAGAGGCUGCAAGUCGUAAACAAUUGAGAAAGUGUGCAGUAUGCAAUAUGAUGACCAAUCACGAUAAGCGGAACAACUACAAAAUUAUGGGUCAAGAAAAGUCGGGUGUUUGAAGUUAUCUCAAUAUGUAAUUUUAUGAUUAUGUAAUGGCAAAAUUAUUUAUUUUUGGUUAUAUAUGUUGAUUUAUCAGCAUAAAUUAUUAUUUCCCAAAAGUUACAUUAGAUGAAUUACUCACAAUUAGUUAAUGAGUUAGACCUUAUAUUUCCAAAUAUCAAUCGUUCGGAAAAAAUAAUAUUACAAAAAGAAAAAAAAAUAAAUUGAUAUUACAUGUGUUGAACUGACAACUUUGGAUAUGCUCAAAAUGGUAGAGCAAAGCACUCUCUGCUAUUCUAUGACUAAAUGAUUGCAAGUGGUACAAAACCUGAUUUUAUUACUUUUAUUGGCCUACUUUUUGCUUGCAGCCAUGCGGGUCUUGUGGAACAUGCACACCAGUACUUUGAAUCUAUGAAAAACUAUUAUGGGCUAAAGUCGGGUCCAGAUCACUAUGCAUGUAUGUGCGAGGCAGAGGAAAUUGUAAAGAUUUCCACCAAGCUAUAAAAUUUUCCAGAAAACUCACCAAAAAACAUCACGUCAAGCAAAUAAUACCUGUGAAUACUUUUCUUUACUAUAUAUCUAUUGAACUUGAAAGUGUUGAAUGUGUUGUAUUUCUUAAACUUUUUUAUAAGUGAUUUAAUGGGACAUGAAUACCCAUCACAUCAGGCCUAUAAUUCCACAAGCUCAUUGCACUUAUCUGAAUACCACCCACUUGUGAGAAGAGAUUUAAAAUAAUCAAGCCCAAUUAUACGUAAAAACCAACACCAGAUAUAUUUGUAAUCUAAUAACUUACAGAAGAAAGAAGCAAUUGACGGUGAUCAGGAUCUAUGUACGAAACUACUCCAGAUAGUGCCUUCAAACUUGUCUAUCAAUCAAACGAAAAUGAUAUUAGGAGAACCAUGGACCAUGUACAGAGAAAUAUAUACCUCCAUAACGUAUAGUUUGAUUUCUUUUCAACGAAUCAACAUACCACAAGCAUGGACACUUCAUCAGGUGCAAGGCGUUCAGUGUGGUGAAGAACCCCAAUCAGCUCAUGAUAACUGUCACAUUCACCCUGAACCAGUGAAAAUUGGUUGUUAAUAACUUAUCAAAGCCUCCAAAGAUGAACAAAUGCUAAGAAUAUGCUAAAUUCCUACAAUCAAGCUGUGAACCAGCCUGCUAUACAUUCUACUAAAUUGAUAAAAGCAAUAUUUAUAAUAAUACCAAAAAAGGAAAAUAAAAUGCACUAUCUACCAUUCAAUAUUUUAAAAUAUAUGCUUCAUAUGGGCCAAAAAACAGUGGUUCUCAGAAUUUUAGUCAAGGUGGCGAAAGAUAAAUAUUUAACCCCUUGUCUAUCCCUGCAAAUGAGUUCAUCCACAAAGCCAAUUAAAGCAAAGCAAGAACUUUCUCAGACUGCAAUAGCCAAACUCUAAUACAAGAAAUGAAAAUCAUAACCGAAUAUCUUUCUAAGAACAAAAUAUUAGUUCAAUCAAACAAAAAUAGUAAAUAAAAAGCUAACAGUCGUGCCUGAACACAAAACCACUGAUU
Molecule: long non-coding RNA, 55486 nt
Filed under: Panax ginseng (ginseng)
Lineage: Eukaryota; Viridiplantae; Streptophyta; Magnoliopsida; Apiales; Araliaceae
Description: long non-coding RNA (PGIN_LNC006018)
Source: RNAcentral